UUUGAAAUAGUGGGCGCGAGCUAUUUCGAGUCGAGGAGAGAGUGUUUUGCCGACCAUGGUUUAUGAAUUAUUCGGCACAUGUCAUUUCGGCCGAGGAGAAGGCGCGCUUGGAUGAAGUUACGAACCUACCCUCGAUGUACAACGGGCCAAUUGAAGUGUGUCCCACAUAGGAUGGUAAUUUCGCGUCUCCCAUUUAUUUGCUUGGGCGAAUUCCACCUAGCAGAGAGGAUGUUUAACGGUUCUUUCAAAUUUUGGGAGAAUGAACAUCCACGUCUACCUUACCAAGUCGAUUUGAAUCAAAUUUUGAAAUAUUAGCUUGCCACUUAUUUUUGAGAUGGAGAGAUGAUGCUCGGGAGUAAUGUGUUUUUACAUGCUCGUUGCUAGCGAUUUACUAUAUGACAAAUAGUUGACCCACUCAAAAACGCGAAUCAAACCCAAAAUGAAAUAUCUCAAUUGAAUGAAAUAGCUCGUUCAUUAGGUCAAAAUAGUGAACUAAAUCCAAAAUUGAACACCUCAAUCGAGUAGCAUGUUGUACAUUAUUAUAGUACUCCAUGAACACGUUGAAAGUCAAAUUAAUGAACUUGUUUGAUAUAUGCAUAUAUCCGUUCAUGUGUGGAUUGCAGACAACAUGUUCUCCAAUUUAAAUAUUUGAAUGCAAGUUUAUAUCGAAACAUGGUUUAUAUCAGUCUUUGAUGCAUAAAACGCGACCUCCCCCUCUCCCGGACUCCUGUUCUCUCUCUCUCUCUCUCUGUCUCGCCGACAAUCUUCAAUUAUGUCGCACGCAUCCGACACAAAAACCUUGUUGAUCCCUCUCCCUUUAUAUCCAUCUCUCUCUCUCUCUCUCUCUCUCUCUCUCUCUUUGUGUGUGUGGGGGGUCUUUCUAGUUCGCAUGCAUAUGUACACCAUCUAUAGGUCCCUCUCGCACACUAUGUAUGAUACUCUAGCUAGUCCAAGCUAGAUAUCUUGGGUGCACUCAUCGUACGCACACAAAUUCCUUGGCUCUUUGCCCUAACUCUCUCACGCACCACUAUGUCGUCUCGGAGCUCUUCCCCCCUCUCUUAAACUCUCCAUCCACCUGGGUCACACAUACACAUGCAUAUCUCACUCGCACUCGAUAGGCUCAUCUAAAACUCUAUCUAUCUCCCUCGUUCUCUCUCCAUCUCACACGCACACACACAAUCUCAUGCCCAGCUAGCCAAGUAUGAUUGUCUCUCACUCAAUUGUAGGCACACGUAGUCCCCCCCUAUAUGUAUAUGACUAGCUAAUCUUAGUCUCUUUCACAAACAUGUGCAUGGUCUAUCUCGAUUUCUCUCGGGGCAUCUUUCUAUCGCGCACGCACUCCCUCGAUCUCCCACCCAUAUAGUCCCCUCACGAUCUUGAGGGGAUCUCUCUAUCACAAACACACCCUCUCUCCCUCCCCAUGCGACCAUGCCAUCCAUGUGUCCCUCUCGAUCUUUUUUCCUUGUUGGCCAGACCUCUAUUGGACAUGUGCUACAGGGGUGUCUCUCUCCGUUGCAAACAAUCACACACUAGCUAUCUUCGUGUAUCUCCUCGCCUCGCUUUUCCAUCUCGGAGAUGCAUGCGUGAUAUGUUCGCAUAAGAAACGAAAAAACACACACUCUCUCUAAUUUAUCAUUUAUUGUCACUUUCUCUUUCACACACACAUACUCUUUUUGCACACUUACUCAUUCUCCUUCACACGCACUUGAUCUGUCUCGACUGAGGCACUCUCCUCGGUCCAUAGCAUAUAGAUUUAUUGAAAAGUCAAACAUCACAAAGUUUGACCAUGUACGUGGAGAAAAAGAAUUACAUCUAGUACGACAAACAUAUACCAUUAGAUUCACCAUGAGAUGUAGUUUUGUAUGAUGUAUCCUUGGUAUUGUAGAUAUAAAUAACAUUUGCGUAAACCUGAUCAAAGUUUCCAAAGUUUUACUUCUAAAAAACUUACAUGCACUGCAUUAUUGAGCGGAUGGAAUAUCUCUUUCCCCCUCUCAGCUAUCUGACGCACCACUCAGCCUUAUCGGGGCUCCUCAAUCUCUCUCAAACUUUAUUGGUCAGUUUGGACCUGACCCUCAUGCCUUGAUAGCCGGUACUGCCUGGUGUGGACGUGAGAUGUAAAAUAUUUAUGCCUGGCCAGGCUUGUGUGGUGCUGAAGUGUUUGGUUCAUGCCUGGGCCAGGCAAAGCAUCAACGUCCCAUCAAUCAAUCCAUGCAUCAAUUAUUUAAUGCUAAUAUCCUUCCAUGUUGCUGUUAGCCUCGUUGCCGCACAAGCGUGCAUGAAAUCCAGCCACAACCCCAGGCCAGGCAAAAGAUGCUUAGGACACAAGCCAAACUGGCCUUAUAUCUCCCUAGUUCACACAUACACAUGUCUCGCUCGCGCUAUACAUAUAGACCCAUCCAACACUCUCCGCCCUUGUUCUCUCUCCAUGUGACACGCACCCCCCUAAGUACCAUAAUCCCUCACUCCAUCAUAGGCGCAAGCACUCCCCCCCCCUCCUAAGUAUGACUAUCUCUUACUAGCCAUCAGGAACACACGUAUUGUCUCCUUCCAUCCAUAUGUCUAUCUCCAUAUCUCUCGGGGCAUCUUCUAUCGCGCACACACCUUGUCACUCAAUCUCCCACCCAUGUAGUCCCAUCACGAUCUCCAGGGGAUCUCUCUAUGACAAACAUACACUCUCUCCUCCCCAUGUCUGCAUUUUCUCCGUAAGGUCUCUCUCGCCCUCUCUCCCUUGUUUGUCAGACCCCUCUUGGCCACGUGCUAGGGGUCUUGCUCUCUCGGUUCCAAACAACCACACACUAUCUCCUCACCUUGCCUCCGUUGUCGAAGAUGCAUGUGUGAUAUGUUUGCAUAAGACACACACGCUUUUUCUCUACUUUUAUCGUGUUCACACACACACACACACACUUUUUUCACUCUCUCUCUCUCUCUCUCUAGUUAGGGACUCUGUCACGUCCAUAAGCAUAUGGAUGUUUUGAAAAGUCAAACCUCAGAAAAGUUUGACCAGGCAUAUGUGGAGAAAAACAUUUACAUCUGGAACGAUCAUUAGAUUCAUCACAACAUGUACUUACUUCAUACAUUUAUCUUUGCUAUUGUAGAUAUAAGUAAUUUCUUUAUAAACUUGGUCAAAGUUUCAAAAGUUUGACUUCAAAAAAUAUUGGAACUACAUUAUCGAUGAGAGGGGGUAGCUCUUUCUCUCUCUCUGCUAUCUCUCACGGGCCUUGCUACGUCUUGAGCUUGCGUUGGUUUUCCUUGAAGAGGAGAGGGUGAUGCAGCAAAGUGUAGCGUAAGUAUUUCCCUCAGUUUUGAGAACCAAGGUAUCAAUCCAGUAGGAGGCUCCUCAAAAGUCCCAUGCACCUACACAAACAAACUGAGAACUCACAACCAACGCAAUAAAGGGGUUGUCAAUCCCUUCACGACCACUUACAAAAGUGAGAUCUGGUAGAGAUAAUAUGAUAAAUAUAUUUUUGGUAUUUUAUAAUAUAGAUGCAAAAAUGGAAAGAUGCAAAUAAAAGUAGAUUGAAAGCAAAUAUGAUAAGAGAUAGACCAGGGGGACCAUAGGUUUCACUAGAGGCUUCUCUCGAGAUAGCACAAGUAUUACGGUGGGUGAACAAAUUACUGUCGAGCAAUUGAUAGAAAAGUGCAUAGUUAUGAGAUUAUCUAGGCAUGAUCAUGUAUAUAGGCAUCACGUCCAUAAAAGUAGACCGACUCCUGCCUGCAUCUACUACUAUUACUCCACACAUCGACCGACUCCUGCCUGCAUCUAGAGUAUUAAGUUCAUAAGAACAGAGUAACGCCUUAAGCAAGAUGACAUGAUGUAGAGGGAUAAACACAUGCAAUGUGAUAUAAACCCCAUCUUGUUAUCCUCGAUAGCAACAAUACAAUACGUGUCUUGCAACCCUUUCUGUCACUGGGUAAGAACACCGCAAGAUUGAACCCAAAGCUAAACACUUCUCCCAUGGCAAGAAAGAUCAAUCUAGUAGGCCAAACCAAACUGAUAAUUCGAAGAGACUUGCAAAGAUAACUCAAUCAUACAUAAAAGAAUUCAGAGAAGAUUCAAAUAUUAUUCAUAGAUAAACUUGAUCAUAAACCCAUAAUUCAUCGGAUCUCGACAAACACACCGCAUAAAGAGAUUACAUCGAAUAUAUCUCCACAAGAGAGGGGGAGAACAUUGUAUUGAGAUCCAAAAAGAGAGAAGAAGCCAUCUAGCUAAUAAAUAUGGACCCGUAGGUCUGUGGUAAACUACUCACAACUCAUCCGAGGGGCAAGGAAGUUGAUGUAGAAGCCCUCCAUGGUCGAUUCCCCCUCCGACAGAGUGCCGGCGAAGGCUCCAAGAUGAGAUCUCGCGGAUACAUAAGGUUACAACGGUGGAAAUUGUGUUUCGUGGUGCUCCUGGAUGUUUUCGGGGUCCGUAGGUAUAUAUAGGAGGAAGAAGUACGUCGGUGGAUGCCCGAGGGGCCCACGAGACAGGGGGCGCGCCCUACAGGGGCGGGGGCCGCGGCCCCCUAUCUCGUGGGACCCUCGGGAGCUUCUUUACUUGCACUCCAAGCUCUCCGGAUCAGAUUUGUUCCAAAAAUCACGCUCCCGAAGGUUUCAUUCCGUUUGGAGUCCGUUUGAUAUUCCUUUUCUUUGAAAUACUGAAAUAGGAAAAAAAACAGCAAUAUGGGCUGGGCCUCCGGUUAGUAGGUUAGUCCAAAAAUGAUAUAAAUAUGUAAAAUAAAGCCCAUAAACAUCCAAAAGGGGUAAUAUAAUAGCAUGGAACAAUCAAAAAUUAUAGAUACGUUGGAGACGUAUCAAGCAUCCCCAAGCUUAAUUCCUGCUCGUCCUCGAGUAGGUAAAUGAUAAAAAGAGAAUUUUUGAUGUGGAAUGCUACCUAGCAUAAUUCAUAAUGUAAUUUUCUUCAUUGUGGCAUGAAUGUUCAGAUCCAAAUGAAUACAAAAUAAAAGUUCAUAUUGACAUAAGAAAUAGUAACACUUCAAGCAUACUAGUCAAGGUAAUCAUGUCUUCUCAAAAUAAUAUGGCAAAAGAAAGUUCAUCCCUACAAAAUCAUAUAGUUAGGCUAUGCUUCAUUUUCGUCACACAAAGAUGUUCCCAACUUCUAUACCCCCGAUGACAAGCCAAGAAAUUGUUUCAUACUUAAAUAAUCUCAAACUUUUUCAACCUUCACGCAAUACAUGAGCGUGAGCCAUGGAUAUAGCACUAUGGGUGGAACAGAAUAUGAUGAUGGGGAUUGUGUGGAGAAGACAAAAAAGGAGAAAGUCUCACAUUGAUGAGGAUAAUCAACGGGCUAUGGAGAUGCCCAUCAAUUGAUGUCAACAUAAGGAGUAGGGAUUGCCAUGCAACGGAUGCACUAGAGCUACAAAUGAAUGCUCAACAAAGGAAAACUAAUGGGUGUGCAUCCAACUUGCUUGCUCAUGAAGACCUAGGGCAUUUGAGGAAGCCCAUCGUAGGAAUAUACAAGCCAAGUUCUAUAAUGAAAAAUUCCCACUAGUAUUAAAAAGACAACUUAUGAGACUCACUAUAUGAAAAACAUGGUGCUACUUUGAAGCACAAUAUAUGAGACUCACUACAUGAAGAACAAGGUGCUACUUUGAAGCACAAGUGUGGAAAAAGAGAUAGUAACAUUGCCCUUUUUAUUUAUUUCUUUUUUUCUUUUUUUUAUUUUUCACUUUUUUUUGGGUCUUUCUUUUUUUUUCUUUUGGUCUUUCUUUUUUUUUCUUUUUUCUCUUUGGGCAAUGUUCUAAUAAUGAUGAUCAUCACACUUUACAACAUAAGAAUUACAACUCGAAACCACAAGAUAUGACUCUAUAUGAAUGCCUCCCGCGGUGUACCGGGAUGGUGCAAUGAAUGAAGAGUGACAUAUAUGAAAAAUAAUGCAUGGUGGCUUUGCCACAAAUACGAUGUCAACUACAUGAUCAUGCAAUGGCAAUAUGACAAAAGUAAAGUGUGUCAUGAUAAUGAACGGAGCGGUGGAAAGUUGCAUGGCAAUAUAUCUCGGAAUGGCUAUGGAAAUGCCAUAAUAGGUAGGUAUGGUGGCUGUUUUGAGGAAGAUAUAGGGAGGUUUAUGUGUGAUAGAGCAUAUCGUAUCACGGGGUUUGGAUGCACCGGUGAAGUUUGCACCAACUCACAAGGUGAGAAAGGGCAAUGCACGGUACCGAGGAGGCUAGCAAAGGCGGAAAGGUAAAAGUGCGUAUAAUCCAUGAACUCAACGUUAGUCAAAAGAACUCAUAUACUUAUUGCAAAAAUUUAGAAGUCAUCAAAAAUCAAGUACUAUGCACAUGCUCCUAGGGGGAUAGAUUGGUAGGAAAAGACCAUCGCUCGUCCCCGACCGCCACUCAUAAGGAUGCACAAGCCAAGUACACUUCAUGUUUCAAAUUUGUUACACAACUUUAACCAUACGUGCAUGCUAAGGGACUUGCUAACUUCAACACAAGAAUUCUUUGAAUUCAUAAUCACCCAACUAGCAUGACUUUAAUAUCACUACCUCCAUAUCCCAAAACAAUUAUCAAGUUGAUCAUAACAUCCAAUUCACUUCCUAUGAUAGUUUUUAUUAUACCCAACUUCGAUGCUCAUCAUUCUAGGACCAACUUUAUGAUAAUAGCAAAUACCAUGCUGUUCUAAAAGACUCUCAAAAUAAUAUAAGUGAAGCAUGAGAGACUAGCAAUUUCUUCAAAAUUAAGACACCACCGUGCUCUAAAAGAUAUAAGUGAAGCACUAGAGCAAAAACUAUCAAGCUCAAAAGAUAUAAGUGAAGCACAUAGAGUAUUCUAGCAAAUUUUAAUCAAAUAGGCUUCUCCCAAAAGGUGUGUACAUCAAGUAUUAUUGUGGUAAACUUAAAAAGAAAAGACCAAUAUAAUACACGACGCUCCAAGCAAAACACAUAUCAUGUGGCGAAUAAAAAUAUAGCUCCAACUAAAGUUACCAAUGAACGAAGACGAAAGAGGGGAUGCCUUCCCGGGGCAUCCCCAAGCUUAGGCUUUUGGCUAUUCUUGAAUAUAUUGGGGUGCCAUGGGCAUCCCCAAGCUUAUGCUCUUGCUACCCUUUAUUCCAUAGUCCAUAAAAGCUUUACCCAAAACUUGAAAACAUCACAACACAAAACUCAACAGGAAAUCUUAUAAGCUCCGUUAGUGAAAGAAAAGAAAACCACCACAUAAGGUACUGCAAUGAACUCAUCAUUUAUUUAUUUUGGUGUUAAACCUACUGUAUUCCAACUUCUUUAUGGUUCAUAGACUGAAUUACUAGCCAUAGAUGCAUUGAAAUAAGCAAACAACACAUGAAAAACAGAAUCUGUCAAAAACAGAACAGUCUGUAGCAAUCUGUAACUAGCGCAAACUUCUGGAACUAAAAAAAUCCUACCAAAAUAGGAAGUACUGGAAAAUUUGUCUAUAGAUCAGAAGCAAAAAGAAUCAAUGCAAAAUCUUGUUUCUGUGAUUUAUUGAAUUUUUUCUCGUGGGCGCAAAGUUUCUGUUUUUCAGCAGAAUCAAAUCAACUAUCAUCGUAGGUUAUCCUAUAGGUUCUACUUAGCACAAACACUAAUUAAAAGAUUAAAACACAUCUAAACAGAAGGUAGAUGCAAUAUUUAUUCCUAAACAGGAGCAAAAACAAAAAAACAUAAAGAAAAUUGGGUUGCCUCCCAACUAGCGCUAUCGUUUAACGCCCCUAGCUAGGCAUAAAAGCGAAGAUAGAUUUAACGACUGCCAUAAUAAUAAGAUAGAUCUUGAAGGCUCAUCUCAUAUUCUCUACGUUCAGCGGCAAGUUUUAUUUGAGGCAAGCAAAAGUAAUCAAAAGUGCUAAAUUUAGUGGGACAAAUGUCCCCAAGAUCAAUCACAGGAGGAACGGGUUCUUCCUUUGGCCCUUCAUAGUGCACAACUAUUUCAUCACUAAAAGCAUUCUUUUGGCAAAAUUUUGUGAGCCUAUACUCAAGAGAGUAUCCUAACUCAUUGUUUCAAAGAGAAAAAUCAUUCUUAAGUUCGUUAAUGCAAUCAACCAAGACAUUGAUAGGAACCUUUUUCUAAUGUUUUCAUUAAAAGCAACGUAGUCCGAAGAUUGAAAACGCCUAAAUUCCUCUUGGUCAUAGAGGAUCGCCUCUAUGGGAGGACGACCGGCGUCCACCCUAUAGUGCGCAAAGAUUUCUUUGGCCUCUCUUAUGAUAAAUCUAAACUCGUGAGCCAAAAAUAUAGUAACAGCACGCUUAACAGAAGAAUGAUCAAUAUUAGAGAAUUCUAGGAAAAUUCUUUGUAUACAAGGAUGCAUAUGCAUAAAUUGUCUUUCAAGCUCAACUACAAGCAUAGCGAUAGCAUCCGCAAGACUACUCGUUCUAUGAAGAAUAGAACAUCCCAAGGAAGGUAAAGCACCGGCACAAGUAAUGAAAUCUUGAAUAACACCUUUGCCAAUGAUGUUACCACUGCCGAUUCGAAACUUUUUAGUAUGCAAGAUAGGGGGUUCAUCGGCCGGAGCCUCGAGAUUUUCCAUGUUAUCAUUAUUGUCCAUAUUGACGAUAAUCUCCCCAAUUUCAGACAUAGCGGCAAACAAAAGCAAGGCGGAAGAAAGCGAGCGAAAAAGAGAAUAGGAGAUUGGGAAAGAAAGGGCGAAUAAAAUGGCAAGGGUGAAGUGGGGGAGAGGAAAACGAGAGGCAAAUAAUGUAAAUGCGAGGGAGAUGGGUUUGUGAUGGGUACUUGGUAUGUCUUGACUUGAGCGAAGACCUCCCCAGCAACAGAGCCAGAAAUCCUUCUUGCUACGUCUUGAGCUUGCGUUGGUUUUCCUCAAAGAGGAGAGGGUGAUGCAGCAAAGUGUAGCGUAAGUAUUUCCCUCAGUUUUGAGAACCAAGGUAUCAAUCCAGUAGGAGGCUCCUCAAAAGUCCCACACACCUACACAAACAAACUGAGAACUCGCAACAAACGCAAUAAAGGGCUUGUCAAUCCCUUCACGGCCACUUACGAAAGUGAGAUCUGAUAGAGAUAAUAUGAUAAAUAUAUUUUUGGUAUUUUAUAAUAUAGAUGCAAAAAAAGUAAAGAUGCAAAUAAAAGUAGAUUGAAAGCAAAUAUGAUAAGAGAUAGACCCGGGGGCCAUAGGUUUCACUAGAGGCUUCUCUCGAUAUAGCAUAAGUAUUACGGUGGGUGAACAAAUUACUGUCGAGCAAUUGAUAGAAAAGCGCAUAGUUAUGAGAUUAUCUAGGCAUGAUCAUGUAUAUAGGCAUCAUGUCCAUAACAAGUAGACCGACUCCUGCCUGCACCUACUACUAUUACUCCACACAUCGACCGACUCCUGCCUGCAUCUAGAGUAUUAAGUUCAUAAGAACAGAGUAACGCCUUAAUCAAGAUGACGUGAUGUAGAGGGAUAAACACAUGCAAUAUGAUAUAAACCCCAUCUUGUUAUCCUCGAUGGCAACAAUACAAUACAUGUCUUGCAACCCUUUCUGUCACUGGGUAAGAACACCGCAAAAUUGAACCCAAAGCUAAACACUUCUCCCAUGGCAAGAAAGAUCAAUCUAGUAGGCCAAACCAAACUGAUAAUUCGAAGAGACUUGCAAAGAUAACUCAAUCAUACAUAAAAUAAUUCAGAGAAGAUUCAAAUAUUAUUCAUAGAUAAACAUGAUCAUAAACUCACAAUUCAUCUGAUCUCGAGAAACACACCGCAAAAAGAGAUUACAUUGAAUAGAUCUCCACAAGAGAGGGGGAGAACAUUGUAUUGAGAUCCAACAGGAGAGAAGAAGCCAUCUAGGUAAUAACUAUGGAUCCGUAGGUCUGUGGUAAACUACUCACAACUCAUCGGAGGGGCAAAGGUGUUGAUGUAGAAGCCCUCCAUGGUCGAUUCCCCCUCCGGCAGAGUGUCGACGAAGGCUCCAAGAUGAGAUCUCGCGGAUACAGAAGGUUACGACGGUGGAAAUUGUGUUUCGUGCUGCUCCUGGAUGUUUUCGGGGUCCGUAGGUAUAUAUAGGAGGAAGAAGUACGUCGGUGGACGCCCGAGGGGCCCACGAGACAGGGGGCGCGCCCUACAAGGGGGGCCUAUCUCGUGGGGCCCUCGGGAGCUUCUUGACUUGCACUCCAAGCUCUCUGGAUCAAAUGUGUUCCAAAAAUCACGCUCCCGAAGGUUUCAUUCCAUUUGGACUCCGUUUGAUAUUCCUUUCCUUUGAAAUACUGAAAUAGGCAAAAAACCAGCAAUAUGGCUGGGCCUCCGGUUAGUCGGUUAGUCCCAAAAAUGAUAUAAAUAUGUAAAAUAAAGCCCAUAAACAUCCAAAAGGGGUAAUUGAUACGUCCAUUUUGCAUCAUGCUUUUAUAUCAAUAUUUAUUGCAUUAUGGGCUGUUAUUACACAUUAUAUCUCAAUACUUAUGGCCAUUCUCUCUUAUUUUACAAGGUUUACCAUGAAGAGGGGGAAUGCCGGCAGCUGGAAUUCUGGCUGGAAAAGGAGCAAACGCUGGAAACCUAUUCUGCACAACUCCAAAAGACCUGAGACUCCACGAAACAACUUUUUGGAUUUAUUAAGGAAUUAUGAGCAAAAGAAAUAGGCCAGGGGUUCACACCCUGUCCAGGAGACAGGGGCGCACCCCCCCUAGGGGCGCGCCCCCUAUCUCCUGGGCCCCCUGGUAGGCCUCCGGCAUCCAUCUUCUGCUAUAUGAAGGGUUUUGUCCUAGAAAAAUUUGUGGGCAAGCUUAAGAGACGAAACUCCGCCGCCACGAGGCAGAACCUUGGCGGAAUCAAUCUAGGGCUCUGGCGGAGCUGUUCUGCCGGUGACACUUCCCUCCGAGAGGGGGAAAUCAUCACCAACGUCAUCACAAACGAUCCUCUCAUAGGAAGGGGGUCAAUCUCCAUCAACAUCUUCACCAGCACCAUCUCCUCUCAAACCCUAGUUCAUCUCUUGUAUCCAAAACCACAAAUUGGUACCUGUGGGUUGCUAGUAGUGUUGAUUACUCCUUAUAGUUGAUACUUAUUGGUUUACUUGGUGGAAGAUCAUAUGUUCAGAUCCUUAAUGCAUAUUAUUACACCUCUGAUUAUGAACAUGAAUAUGCUUUGUGAGUAGUUAUGUUUGUUCCUGAGGACAUGGGUGAAGUCUUGCUAUUAUUAGUAGUCAUGUGAAUUUGGUAUUCAUUCGAUAUUUUGAUGAGAUGUAUGUUGUCUCUCCUCUAGUGGUGUUAUGUGAACAUCGACUACAUGACACUUCACCAUUAUUUGGGCCUAGAGGAAGGUAAUAAGUAGAUGAUGGGUUGCUAGAGUGACAGAAGCUUAAACCCUAGUUUAUGCGUUGCUUCGUUAGGGGUUGAUAUGGACCCAUAUGUUUAAUGUUGUGGUUAGGUUUAACUUAAUACUCCUUUUUGUAGUUGCGGACGCUUGCAAUAGGGGUUAAUCAUAAGUGGGAUGCUUGUCCAAGUUAGGGCAGUACCCAAGUGCCGGUCCACCCACAUAUCAAAUUAUCAAAGUACCGAACGCAAAUCAUAUGAGCGUGAUGAAAACUAGCUUGACGAUAAUUCCCAAUGUGUCCUCGGGAGCUCCUUCCCCAUUAUUAGCUCGUUACUAUUUAUCUUAUCACAAAUCUAUCUAUCACCUACUAUUUCAGUGCUUGCAGAGAAAACCUUACUGAAAACCGCUUAUCAUUUCCUUCCGCUCCUUGUUGGGUUCGACACUCUUACUUAUCGAAAGGACUACGAUAGAUCCCCUACACUUGUGGGUCAUCAGUAAUAUAAUAGCAUGGAACAAUCAAAAAUUAUAGAUACGUUGGAGACGUAUCAGGCCUCCCCUCUCACUCGAACUUUCUAUACCGACGGAUUAUACACUCACUGUGUCAACGUAUAGCUCCGUAUAUUGUUUAGUUGACCGGUCAACCAAUCCACAUGCUGCCUUGUCAGCUCGUGUUCUGUAUCUUCGUGUGCUGGCCCAUGUGGCAGUGGGUGAAAAUAAGUAAACUAGAGGCUCAUCUGACACGCGGUGACGUAAACAAAGUUGAAACCACUCGGGGUAGCACCCCACACGCUAGUAAAUUGAGGGCGCAUUGAGGAAAAACUUCUUGUGCGCGAAGGAUGCACUCGCGCACAAUUCACCACUGCGCGGCGGUAUGCACAGAAGGACACCCUCGCGCACACCCAGCACACAAGACACACCAGCACACAUGUACAUCAGCGUCGCCGCCAGUUGAGAUGGACGGCGAGGCAGCCAACAAGCGGAGGCGGCUCGAGCCAAAACCGCAUCCGGCGAGCCUAGACUUCAUCAGCAGCCUCCCCGAUGACAUGCUGCUCGUCGUCAUCGGCCUCCUCCCCACCAAAUCUGCCAUGCGGACCGCCCUGCUCUCCUGGCGGUGGCGCCCCCUCUGGCGCUGCGUCCCCCUCAACCUCACCGUCGACAGUUGCCUCUGCGACGGGGAUUGCGAACGCAUGGCCGCAGUCUCCAAGAUCCUUUCAUCGCUCCCUGGGCUAGCCAGACGCAUUGACAUCCGCAUGUUCAGCACCAACUGCAAGGUCCAACCCAAGUUCGACGAGUGGUUCUUAUCCCCCGCCCUAGAUCAGCUCGAGGAGCUCAGCUUUGAAGCUGGAUGAUGUCGCUCUCUGCCGCCGUCCGCGCUCCGCCUCACGCCAACGCUGCGUCGUGCCAGCUUCAGCUCCUGCUAUCUUCCCCAGAUUAAUGCCGUGCUCGCCCUUCUUCUCCCUCAACUCAAGCAGCUCGACCUCUUCGAUGUUGUCAUCUCGAAGAAGGCUAUGGAGCACCUGCUCCGCAGCUGUACUGCGCUCGAGUACCUUCGUCUUUAGCAGAUCCACGGGUUCAUUAGCCUCAAUGUCGCCUCGACGAAUCUCCGAUGGAUUUAUGUGUCUUGCUGGCCCCGCAACAAGACAUCAAUUGGGAAGAGAUCACUCCAGUUGUUCCAUGUUAUGGUCAUUGAGAAUGCACCUUUCCUUGAGAGAUUGCUUGUAUCGGAUCUAGAAGGUCCAACAAAAAUCAGGAUCAUUGAUGCGCCGAAAUUGACAGCGUUGGUGUACUCGUCUGCCAAAUUCUCUGAACUCUAUAUUGGAUCCGUAAUCUUUUAGGUACAUCACUCAUCUUCUUCUCCGUCCUCUUGAAAUUCACAUUUUUAAAUUUCUUCUUGAUGUAUUUGCGACCAUCUUCCAGAAAAUGAUUCCCACAAGCUUGACCCAGUCCAUGCGCACAGUGAAGAUCUUAGCACUAAAAUCUAUCGGCCCCAAUCUGGAUCAAGUUGUUAGAUUCUUUACAUGCUUUCCGUGCACGGAGAAGCUACUCAUCAAGGUGAAACUUCUUUCCUAUAAGUAAACGGUAAUCACAACGUAGCUCAACUUUUUUGUAAUUUUCCCAAAUUACGAUGACAAGUGUAGUGUUCAAAACUGCAUCUACGCACUGCACCGAAAGAAAUGUUUUUAGUAUUUUUCUCACGUGAUCACCUGCAUCAUUUUUAUGCUGUACUACUAUAGUAGACUAGGCUAGGCAUAGUGGAAAGUAACUUAGACUACUCCAGUAACUCUAUGGUUACCCUAAGAGCAAGUACUACCUCCAUCCUGUUUUACUCUUCCAAUUUUGUAGUAUCAAAAUUUAACCAUAGAUUUAACUGACAAAAUGUUAAUGCAUGUCACUAAGAACAAUAUCGUUGGAUUCAUAUUUGAACAUAAUUUCAAGUGGUGUAAUUUUUAGUGACAUGCAUUGGCAUUUUCUUAGGUAAAUCUAUGGUCAAAAUUUUAUACUAAAUACGAGGUAGUAUUUCCUCUGUCCCAAAAUUCUUGUCUUACAUUUGUUUAGAUACGGAUGUAUCUAAAACUAAAAUGUAACUACAUACACCCGUAUUUAGACAGAUUUAAGACAAGAAUUUUGGGACGGAGGUAGUACAAAAGUGGGCUAUGUAGGCCGAAACAUGUGCCAAAUUCACUUGUGAUGCAUUUGGCAUCGAUGCCCCUCCAUUGCUCACCUGGUGCCCCAAUCUGGAUCACCUACUUUGCUCCGGUGCCAAAUUAACUCACGCAAUGAAAAAACACUGCGUGGGAGAGAGAGAGGACUAAGGCAAUAAAAAACACUUGUUUGGGAGAGUGAGAGGCUGGUGUAGUUGGUUUGAUUAAUUUGUUUAUACAUGUGGGUCUGUGUGCACAGCGGUGCCAACCCUCUCACAUUGCGAGAGCGGUGCCAAAAUCUUUUAAUCUAACAUUGAUGCGUAUUAUGUGGCAUACUUUUGCGAAAUAUGGCAUCGACCACAUAGUGGAAGGCAACAAAUGCCCAAGCUCUUCACGUGCUCCUAGUUAAAUGAGAGGAAACAGAGAGAGAGAGAGAGAGAGUGAGUGAAAAAAUAUCACUAGCCAGCCAACCCUAUCGUAUGAGCGAAUCAUAUUGGUACCUCUUGAUGACACGGCAAUCUUAUGCAGCCAGCUGCUCUAAUAUGUUCUCUUCUUUUGCAGAUAAAAAAGACCUGAAAGUGAAAAAUAUGCUGCACUAUAACAAACUCAUCGAAUGCCUUGAUCUCCAUCUUAUAGAAAUUGAUUUGAUCGACUACCGAGGCGGCACAUCUGAGAUUAAAUUGGCCAGGUUCUUUGUUCUGGAGGCAAGUGUGCUCAAGGUAAUGAGGUUUGGCGUUCUCUGGCGCAACAAUGAAUGGCGUGCUGAUCACCGCAAGCGUCUAAGCUUAAAUGACAAAGUCUCCGCAGAAGCUGAAUUUGUUUUUGAAACAUCAAGUGGCCAGAGACUCGAAACCUUAUUUGCCCAUUAGUGACUUGUCAGGGCGGUGGAUUUUAGUUUGUACGAUAAUGCUGCAUCCACCUAAAGUAACAAAAUUCUUACGUAAACUUCCUUGUAAUUCCCUCUUCGUAGGUGUAGCAUUACUCCUAACAUUUGUAAUAUCAGUUUGAAACUUGUAAUAUUGCCGUGUCCUAUUCCUGCGUUUUCAAAAUCCUGCGAAUUAAACAGGUCCUGAGUUGGUGAUGAUGUUGUGCCUCCCAUCUUUCACCAAUAGCCGUCGGAUCUAGAUCUGACGCAUACAAACCAAGCUUCUCCAUUUUUGCAAAAAGAUGCCCGCACUUGUUCCCUAUUUACAAACAACUCCUUGUUUCCCACAAUCAGCCUUAUAUCCUCCCCACCACAUCUAGAAGGUCGUGGAAAAAUAUGGCACGGUGGCCGCUGCCAGAUCCGUCCACCCCCAAUCUUGGUGUUCCGUGCAAUGCACGGGCAUCUACGCACGGGAAAUUAAGUCGAACAGGGCUAGUUGCAAGCAGGCUAGCUCUACAACCAUGAUGAUAGUGACUGCAGACGGUGAGGCUGACUAUGGUAUGCCAAACACGGCGCCUAUACUCAGGUGUCAUCUCCGGCGCAGGGUCUUGUCACUUCACUGUGAGGAGCAGCACGUAAUAAUUUGACCAACGGGUAGUACAAUGCUAGUACUCCUACUACUACAUUGGUAGUACUACUACUAGUACUAGUAGCACCAACGUCUGAAUUUAGGAGUACUACCACGUCCAUAUGGAUUUUAGUAUUUGACUAGCAAUAUCUAGUAAUGCAUGUCACAAAAAAUGUACUACUCCCUCUGUAAAUAAAUACAUGGUGUUUUGUUCCUAUCGGCGAGAGAACUUAAUGUUUUUUUCUAACUAGAGUACUAAUAGGAUUACAUGCAAUGAACUAAACAUUGCAUGUCAUGUUUGGUAGUCUCAAGUCAUUGAAAGCAUGCACGGCCCACAUCUCUCAUUGGUUGAUAUGUCACGAAAUAAGAAACAAGGAGGGAGUUAAUGCACCGUGCCUAAGUGUUUUGGGAUUAUUUGGUUUUCGUAAGGUGACUUACACAACAUUUUUGUUUACAUGCAUUAACAUUUUAUUAGUUAAAUCAAAGGUAAAAACUUGGCGCAAAAUGCAAAGGGGACCAAUAUACCAGUAAACAUCAAAUUUCUCUCGUUUGGCCCCAACUAGAGGUCCGGUGAGAUGACUGACUAUACUGCACCGGCACGGAGGGGGACGCAGCUUCAUUGACUUACGGCAACUGCCUUUGGGUGAAUGACAUGUGAGCCCAGGGGGUGGCUGGCCCACCUAUCUUACAGCCAAAGGUAGGUGCAGUAGAGGGCCGAGGAGUAGUACAAAAUCCUACGCACCUACGCACGCUAACCAAGGGCAAGAGUGAUCACUCGAAUCGCAGGAUCACUUGACUAGAAGCUAAGCUAGACCCAUGGAGGCUGUGCCAGAUGGUCCAUGACGCCGGCCUAUGGCCUGGCACCGAGGAACGUCUCCAGUUAGUAUUGCUUAAGGCCGCCAGGGCGAGGGGCCGCUUGGAUGACAACUUCGUCUCCUUGUUCGACGAGGUCCUCGUCGGUUUCCUCGACAAGUUCACCGUCGUCAAGAAGCUCGCGGACGACUUUGAUGUAAGCCUCCAGCCGACGCGCCCAGGCUCUGCGAUGCCCACCACCCUCAACGGCCACUAUGGUGACAACUUCUUCAACGCACUGGUGGCCCUGCGACUGCCCGCCGUCGCGCCGGAGAAUGUCCAGCUCAAGGUCUCGCUCGCCGCGCAGCGCCUCGCGCAGUAAGACACCAUCGACAUAAUCACCCACGUCUACACGCAAAUCGUCCACAAGGACUACUACAUGCAAGAGGAGGACGAUAGGACACUGGCCUUCUUGGACCGUAGGGCAACUUUGGACGGCACUGUUCAGAAGCACGUUGAGCUCGCCGCCAGCGCCGCUGCUCCUCACACGUCGGUUGGUGACCCGGCGCACUAGGGCGUGAGGAUGUCGUUGAUGGAUCUGUAUGUAUUUUUAUCUUUCCGUCAAAUCCAUGUAGUAGUAUAUGAUACUACAGUAAUUAUCUUACCUUUCGCAUCAACUUCAUAAUUUUCGUAUGUAGUCCAUGCAUGAACGGCGCCAGAACCUAACUUCUCAUUACUCUAGGCAAAAUCGUUAUUUUCUAUCUAUCGGUCGCGCCAUGGAGUAGAACCAAAUUUUACAAGUUACGAGUUCAAAAGGAAAAGCCUGCCGUGUUCGCGUCGCACCCCCACACGGUUGGUCCGGCACGCCGCUCAAGCGGGAAUGCGUGCGGUGUUGCAUUCUCACUUACAAGUGGGACCGCAGUUGAGCAAACCGACUAUCGGCAAACCCCCACCCCCGCCCACCGCGCGAUGGCUGAGAAAACAGGAGGGGGAAGAGAUGGUUUUAGCACAGACUCCAAGAAAAUUGGUGUCGGAUGGGACUCAUGUGGGUGGCGUGUGCCGUACUGCUAGACGUGAAUGCUAAUUAUGGCCCAAGCCACCCCACUAUAUCGAGCCUAUAUUGAGGUACGUAGAACAAAUUUCCUGCAGUCCGUGCUCAGCCCUCCUCUAUCUCUCUUCUCAGCCAGCCAGCGAACGCGCGGAGCCCAUCGUCUGUUUGCUCACAUGCGGUCCCACAUGUCAGUGAAAAUGCAAGCGGACCCACUGAACCUGCACAUCUUUCACCUCGACGUGCUGGUGAUGAAAAACAAAUCCAAUAAAGAUCUUCGGUGGCCGCUUUUGGAGUUACUCAAGAGUAGUAAGAUUCUAUUUACAGUUUAACCCAAGAUGCACAUCUCGUGGCUUCAACUACCACUCUAUUUUCUUUCAUGACACGACCUGGAUGCUGGAUGUCCCACGUGUCGGCAAAAGGAGGAAGAACCCGACCAAAUCUUCGGUUGUGCUCUCAGAUUAGACUAGUUGUGCUAACUUACAAAAUUUAUUGUGUACUCCCACCGUUCCAAAAUACUUGACUUCCAUUUGUUCAAAAAUGGAUGUACCUAUAUACUAAAACAUAUCUAGAUACAUAUAUAUUUUGACAAAUAGAAGGCAUGUAUUGUGCAACGGAGGGAGUAGAAUGGAUGCAAGUUUUUGUAUUGGGAGGAAGAGUACAUCCAUAUAUUGAUAGAGCACAAUUUAGUAGAUGUUCUAUCACUUUUAGCUAGCACAGAGGCUAGAGAUGAGAUUAGUGCACUUGUUGAUACUCCUACUAGAAUAGAGGCUAGACAUGAGAUUAGAUGCGAGGAAGAAACGUCUACUUCUUUACACUCGAAGAAGAAAGAAGCACGCAAGAUCGAGCCUCCGCAGCUCAACAAUGAAUGCAUCGAGAAGGCACUAAUCCAAUUUACAGGAGUAGUAAAAUGUAUUCUUGUGGUUCUUGUUUUCUUUGGUCUUGCUUUUCUAGUCAAAAUUAUCGUUGGAGUUCAUGCAAAACGGAGGUUCCUUUGGGGUCGUGCGUUGGAGUUGGCCUUACAAGUGGGACCGCAGUUAAGGAAACCGACUAUCGGCAAACCCCACCUCGCCCGCCGCGCGAUGGCUGAAGUUAGAGAAACGACAAGGUUGAAGAGAGUCUCUAGCACGGACUCAAAGAAAUAAUAUGGUGUCAGAUGGAUGUCGUGGUGGUGGCGUGUGCCGUACUUCUGGAUGUUAAUGCUUGUACUGGCCCAUGCCACCCUACUACUCCUACUACUUACUCCUACUAUAUAGUACUAGUAUCGAGGAUUCGAGGUGCUGGUUACGUACAGCGAACACAUUAACAUAUGGCUACAGUAAAAACACCCGCCCGACUCGCGAAGCAUGUGAAGCUAGUACAAAUAGUGUACUAGUACUACUAUUGUUGAUUGGCCUCAUCCGAUAACCUGUUGCAAUGCAUGUACAAUUAUGUAUUCAGAAAAUAUAUUUUUUGCCUCGUGGCACCACUCACUCAGAGAAGCUACUCGAAAGCCAUUCAUAAAUUUAGUAAGUUUAUCACAGGCAUAUCAUUUUAUUACAUACAACAGGUCAUCAACCCACAUCGACAACGGGGAUACAUUAUAAAUACUAAAAUUUUCACCACACAACAAAUAAAAAGCAAUAAAAUGAACUUCAACUCAACCAUUCCUCAGCGUUGGAAACGCUUGCUUUGAACCACAAGUGAUUCUCUGGGACGGGCCAUCCAUUGUUGAUCUGGAGACCAACGCAGGACUGAUCAUCCAGGCUGAAGCGGCCUACUAUAUCAGUACCAGGGUAAGGAACCACCCAAAUGUCCGAGGUAUAGACACAGUUGCUUCGCAUAAAUGGUAGUAACGUUGUGUCAACAGCAGUUGGAUCGCCUUUCACCAUUAUUGGAUUGUUUUGUCCAAGGAAGAGCGAGUUUUCUCCAAGACUAUCAAUUCUGUACCAGGGAGAAGGAGUUGGCACUAGCACACUAGUAUCCAUCCCGAAUACCAUGCAACGGGUGUUGGAAUAGGUCCGGAGAGUGCGACCAUGGGAGACUACACCUGCUUCCUUAGCAGUAACAUCAUCAGUGGGCUGUAUACACACAAGAAGAGGUGAUCCAUCGGAAUUAGUUGCCAGGUGCCACAAAGUAUAUGGGCGCUGCUCGUCCUCAUGCUCGUGAUCAUCACCAUCGUCAUCUCCCCCUUGGUUAUAAAAUUUUUCAAGUAUGGGUGGUGGAAUGUUCACAGGACCUUGGAAACACAAGAAGAAGGUUAAUUAGUAAAGGGAAACUUGCUAACCCGCAUGCAUGUGGAUGAAACAAUUAUAAUUACGGUGGAAGACAAACGUACCGAAACUACGAGGAUUCCAUGCAAAAACAGUGCCACGAGUGGUGGCAGCAAACACAAGGCCCUCGUAUUGAAUUGCAUCACAGUACUCAUCCGUGUACAGAAACUGAUUUUUGAGCAAUAUCCAUCGAGUCAAACCACCAAGGACGGCAACUAGCUUAUCGAAGAUAGCAACAACUUCAUAGUUGUUGUAAUUCCAAGAGCGGUUGGGAACUCAACAAAUUGCUAUCUUCCGUAGAAGACACCCACCAUGAUCGUAUUUGAACGUGCAUACAAUACUAGUGUGCUCAACCUCUGGGCAGUCUGCUGAGAUUUUUGGAAGUGGAACCCGGUCACGAGUGUACACAUUCACAAGUUCCCACUCGCAGUUGGACCCAAUGUAAACAACCCAAUCUCCAUUUGCGCCUACCCAAGCCUUUCCCUCAAGCGAUGGCAUCUUAAUAUCAUACGUAUAAUUAUCAAGCGGCAUCAACUUGCACAGGGCGAGGCCUCCGUCGUGCCGGCGCCAGUCAUCAGGGUCACGGCGAAGAUGAUAGGGGAGAUCAAACCACUCCUUGACUCUUGGGUUCCUUGUAAUGAUGUUAUUAGUUGAGUCGAGAAUGGGCUUGAACGAACCUGCCAUGCUAGCCGAGGUGAUGACAUCGCACCGAUCAAUGAGUUCCUCCACCACGUCAUCUUUCAGAUCAGGGCAAGAAUAACGGGGUCAUUUCCGGCCUGUUCCCUCCAUGGAGAAGACGAUCGAACAAUGGUAGAAGAAAGGGUAAAGGGUUAAAGGAAAAUGGAGGAGGGAGAGGAAGAGCGUGCGACAGCAGUUCCAAAUCGAGAGGGAAAGGCGAAGAGUCGGUGGACGGUUGCCAGUUUGCCAUGAUUCACGAAGAGGCGCCCCGGACUACACGUCCGUUCGGAAAUACUCCUACUACUCGCCGUCGUCUCACUGAUAUGUUGAAACAGGACCACAUGUCAACGAAACAUUGUGUGUAAUUUCUCGUGCAAAAUGCGAUCUGGCCGCGUUGGCCCGAGGUGCCACAUUAGUUAUCGACCUUUAUUUUUUUAGUGGUGUGCCGUUCAGUUUUGAAGCACGACGAACUGGUACUGUACACAGAGAAAAUAUAAACUACUCUACCACUACUCCACCUCCAGUACUAGUAGUAUAAAAAAGAUAUAUAGGCUGGAGCUUCAGCGCUUUCUUGCCAAGGGUUGCCCACUUGCUUCUCACAUUACCACCCUCUCACCAGAUCUAAAAAAGACGGCCCCUCUCUCCCUCCUCACCGGUGGUCAUAGAUCCUCCGGGGAAGAAAAGGACAUGCAGCGUUGACGCACUCGUCGUCGGCGAGCGAGGUCACGCACUGAUGACAAGGCCGUCCUCUCAGACCUAGCGCCCACACGGGAUGGCCUCCGUCCCCAAGCUCGCUGUCGUAGUGUGUGCAGAGGACGACGACCACGAGCGAAGCCACUUCCCGCCGACCCUCAGGUAUGCUACCUCUUUUCGAACCAUACCCUUGUUCUAUUGCCCCAUCUGCCACGUCAUUGCAUGUGGAUCUUUUUCCACUCCACCAUCUUCCCAAUUUCCUAUCCUCUGCUCUGCUGGCCACGCAGACGAAAACCAUAAUUUGCACUAUUAAAGGAAACCCUACUUCAUGCAGACUAAUCCAUGUCUGGGUUGAAUAAGGAAAGGAAGGGAGACUGUACUGUCCAAGAAAAUAGGCAUCGAACCAGAAUCUAGGUUGAAAAGGGGAAAAUCAGUGGCUAAGGAACGAGUCUCGUGUCUCUUGGUUGAAGAAGGGUAGAAAGGCAUGACAACGUGUAGAGAAUGACCAGGUCGAUCGGUUGGUUGUCCUCACAUAGGAAAAAGGUGGCUAAAGAGAACAAAAAUGGGACGUAAUCCACAUAUGCUGCCUGGAUAUUUGUUGCUCUGGGCAACCAUACCUCCCUCACCACUCUGCGUCUGUGGAGGUACAUCGUACUGGUGCGCCCACUGUCUGAAUGGGCCUCCCAUGCUCUUAUUGCCACUUUUUUACUAUUAGUAUAACGCCAGCAGUCAUGUCAAGCAAUGCUACUGCUAAAGUGAAGCCACAUUUAACUAAUGCCGCUCUCAGUCUAAUGCCACCGAUAAAUUUAAGCAAUGCCAUUUAAUGUCACUGGAUUAUUUCAGGGUUAGCUGUUGAUUGUGGAUGUAUUAAAGAUUUUUCAGCUAAGGCGUUCUAAUGCUGUUGCACAGCCAGUAUACCAACGAUGAAACUUGUUACUACCUUCAGAUUUUUGCACUGUUAAUGCGUAUAGCUUACAUACCUCACUUUCAUGAGAUAAGUUAAUUUUUGUGCACAGUGUCACCAAAAUGCCAAGGCGCUGAUGUCAUUUUAUUUUGGUUAAACUGCACAAACAAUUAUGAAGAGAAGAGGAAAGGUCAAGAAUGGGCACUUCCUCCUCCGGCUGUUCUCUUGAUUCGUUCGAUCAAGUUUUUAUGUUUGAUCGAUUAUCAAGAUUGGGAUAGCAAUUUUUAAGGUCCCCCAGAGUUUGAAAUGAUAUUUACCUUGGAGGUACAUGGUUUGCAAUUUUUUUAUACUGUCAUUAGUUAAUAAUGCUAGUUACCUUCAGACUUUUGUAUUUGGUUUAAUGCUCAUGCACAGCUAGUAUACCAAUGAUGAAACUUGUUACCUUUACAUUUUGUAUUGUUAAUUCUUAUAGAAACCUUCCAGUGCUAGAGUUUAUUGAAAUCUGUUCAGUAAAACCAUUAUACUGUACCCGGUAAUAAACUAACUACUCUACUGUUGCACUAGCCACUGGAUUAGUGUAUAUUUGUAGUAUUCGAAUGGUGUUGCAUUAGCGUAUGGACAUAAAUAAAGUGUGGCAAGCUUUCCCAGAUAUGUGAUCAAGAAAACUACUACCUGUUUUUCUAAAUACUAGACGUUUGGGUACUUUAAGUUGAACCGCGAAAACGUCUUAUAUUAAGGAACAGAGGGUGUAGAGUUCACUCAAAUUAUCCGGUAAAGCUAGUCACACCUUUGUUAAAAUUAAUGUUCAUUAUGUUAUCGGAGGAGUGAUACGUCUCCAACGUAUCUAUAAUUUUUUAUUGUUCCAUGCUAUUAUAUUACCUCUUUUGGAUGUUUAUGGACUUUAUUUUACACAUUUAUAUCAUUUUUGGGACUAACCUACUAACCGGAGGCCCAGCACAUAUUGCUGGUUUUUUUUGCCUAUUUCAGUAUUUCGAAGAAAAGGAAUAUCAAACGGAGUCCAAACGGAAUGAAACCUUUCUGAGCGUGAUUUUUGGAACGAACGUGAUCCGGAGAGCUUAGAGUGCAAGUCAAGAAGCUCCCGAGGACCCCACGAGAUAGGGGGCCGCCCCCCCCCCCUCCUAUAGGGCGCGCCCCCUGUCUCGUGGGCCCCUCGGGUGGCCGCCGACGUACUUCUUCCUCCUAUAUAUACCUACGUACCCUGAAAACAUCCAGGAGCACCACGAAGCACAAUUUCCACCGCUGUAACCUUCUGUAUCCGUGAGAUCCCAUCUUGGAGCCUUCGCCGGCACUCUGCCGGAGGAGGAAUCGACCACGGAGGGCUUCUACAUCAACAUCCUUGCCCCUCCGAUGAGUUGUGAGUAGUUUACCACAGACCUACGGGUCCAUAGUUAUUAGCUAGAUGGCUUCUUCUCUCUUUUUGGAUCUCAAUACAAUGUUCUCCCCCUCUCUUGUGGAGAUCUAUUCGAUGUAAUCUCUUUUUGUGGUGUGUUUGUCGAGAUCCGAUGAAUUGUGGGUUUAUGAUCAAGUUUAUCUAUGAAUAAUAUUUGAAUCUUCUCUGAAUUAUUUUAUGUAUGAUUGAGUUAUCUUUGCAAGUCUCUUCGAAUUAUCAGUUUGGUUUGGCCUACUAGAUCGGUCUUUCUUGCCAUAGGAGAAGUGCUUAGCUUUGGGUUCAAUCUUGCGGUGUUCUUACCCAGUGACAGAAAGGGUUGCAAGACACGUAUUGUAUUGUUGCCAUCGAGGAUAACAAGAUGGGGUUUACAUCAUAUUGCAUGAGUUUAUCCCUCUACAUCAUGUCAUCUUGCUUAAUGCGUUACUCUAUUAUUAUGAACUUAAUACUCUAGAUGCAGGCAGGAGUCGGUCGAUGUGUGGAGUAAUAGUAGUAGAUGCAGUCAGGAGUCGAUCUACUUGUUAUGGACGUGAUGCCUAUAUGCAUGAUCAUGCCUAGAUAAUCUCAUAACUAUGCGCUUUUCUAUCAAUUGCUCGACAGUAAUUUGUUCACCCACUGUAAUACUAAUGCUAUCUCGAGAGAAGCCUCUAGUGAAACCUAUGGCCCCCGGGUCUAUCUCUUAUCAUAUUUGCUUUCAAUCUACUUUAUUUGGAUCUUUACUUUUUGCAUCUAUAUUAUAAAAUACCAAAAAUAUAUUUAUCUUAUCUUACUAUCUCUAUCAGAUCUCACUUUCGCAAGUGGCCGUGAAGGGAUUGACAACCCCUUUAUUGCGUUGGUUGCGGUACUCAGUUUGUUUGUGUAGGUGCGUGGGACUUUUGAGGAGCCUCCUACUGGAUUGAUACCUUGGUUCUCAAAACUGAGGGAAAUACUUAUGCUACACUUGCUGCAUCACCCUCUCCUCUUUGGGGAAAACCAACGCUAGCUCAAGACGUAGCAAGAAGGACUUCUGGCGCCGUUGCUGGGGAGGUCUUCGCUCAAGUCAAGACAUACCAAGUACCCAUCGCAAACCAAUCUCCCUCGCAUUUACAUUAUUUGCCAUUUGCCUCUCGUUUUCCUCGCCCCCACUUCACCCUUGCUUUUUUAUUCGCCCUCUCUUUCCCAAUCUCCUCCUCUCUUUUUGCUUGCCUUUUUCCGUUGCCCGUGUGUUUGCUCGUUUGCCUUGUCGUCAUGGCUAGCUCGGUCUUUAUCCCUUCGUCUCUCGACUUUGAAGUUCUUCACUUCAAGCAAGGAUAAGGAGAAAAUUUAAAAGAUGCUUGGUUUAUUAGGAUGUUAGAAUCUUAUCGCAGUUGUGUCGUGGAAGGAGAUUUCAAGAUUUUAAUGCGCAAUUUUUAUGUUGGGUUAACUCCAUCUGUCGGUGUCAAAACCGGCGGAUCUCAGGUAGCGGGUCCCGAUCUGUGCGUCUUAGGCUGAUGGUAACAGGAAGCAAGGGACACAAUGUUUACCCAGGUUCGGGCCCUCUCGAUGGAGGUAAAACCCUACUUCCUGCUUGAUUAAUAUUGAAGAUAUGUGGAAUACAAGAGUAGAUCUACCACGAGAUCAUAGAGGCUAAACCCUAAGAGCUAGCCUAUGAUGGUAUGAUUGUAAUUGUGAUCGGCCUUCUAAGGACCAUGCCCUCCGGUUUAUAUAGACACCAGAGAGCUAGGGUUUACAUGGAGUCAGUUACAAGGAAGGAAACAUAAUAUCCGGAUUGCCAAGCUUGUCUUCCACGCAAAGGAGAGUCCCAUCCGGACACGAGCCGAAGUCUUGAGUCUUGUAUCUUGACGCUUCUAUAGUCCGGAUGAUGUAUAUAGUCCGGCUGUCCGGAUACCCCUUAUCCAGGACUCCCUUUAGCCCCUGAACCAGGCUUCAAUGACGAUGAGUCCGGCGCGCAGUGUUGUCUUCGGCAUUGCAAGGCGGGUUCCUCCUCCGAAUACUCCAAGGUGAUUAUCGAACACGUAGGUUGUGUCCGGAUCUGCAAGAUGAUCUUCACACACCCUUGGCAUAAAUCCAUUCUGCUGGCAAUCUUCGUACGUCGUGCCCCUGCAUCGUGACCUGGUCCAACACGAACCAGCGUUUCCUGCUCCACCUCGACUCGCGUUGCGAGGCAGUUUUAUCGGCACGUCCUGCCAAAGCAGAGAUCGUGUCCCUCUUAAUAUGAGAUCUUUCAUCAAUAUGGGCAUAUGCAACCCCACGGCGCCUGUUGGUAUAAUUCUGUGUUUCUUUUUAGAUAAGUCUCAAGCGGUCACGCUAAGGACUCUUGGUAUUCAUCCCUUUUAUAAAGGGGUCAAGGCGUACGCCUCGUUUCCACCUCUCCUGCUCCUUCUCGCACCUCGAGCUCCAUCGCUCAAAACCUAAGCUCCAACACCCCAGAUCCUCCAGUAUGUCCGGAUCCGAUGCAGCAGGCCGGUGGGUGGCCUCCUCGAUCCAGGAGGAGGAUAUUGCGAAGCUGACGGAGGUUGGAUACCUGACUGUUGAUAUCCAGCACAGGCUUCCUGCUCCGGGGCAAGUCAUCCCCACGCCGGAGCCCAAUGAGAGCGUCGUGUUUACUCCUCACUUCCUCCAAGGCCUAGACCUCACCCUCGACCCCUUUGUGAGGGGGCUCAUGUUCUAUUAUGGCUUGGAUUUCCAUGAUCUGGCUCCAGACACCAUCCUCCAUAUCUCGUCCUUUAUUAUUGUGUGCGAGGCUUUUCUCCACGUCAACCCACACUUCGGCUUGUGGCUAAAGACCUUCAAUGUGAAGCCGAAGAUGAUCGAGGGGCGACAUGCGGAGUGCGGAGGCGCCAUAAUAAGCAGGAAUGCUGAUGCCCCAUGGCCAGAGGGUUCUUUUCCGGAAGUGUCUGACGCAUGGCAACGGAGAUGGUUCUAUGUCACCGCUCCCAGAGGCACAAAGUGGGUAGCUGCCCCAGAGUUCCGUUCAAGCCCUCCAUCACAGUUGGCGAUUUGGACCGAUGUGGGACGGAGUUACGGGCCUGCUGGCGAUGUACCAGAACUACAGAACCGCAUCCGGGAGCUUAUUGGGAGGGACAUAAAUCUUGUCAGCAUAAUUCAAGUAAUGCUAGUCCGGCGGCUAUUGUCGUGCAAACGUCGGCCUCUCCGUAUGUGGGAGUUUAAUCCGAAAGGUUCGUGGACUAUUAAGCACUUCUUCGGCUUGACGCUCGAAGGAAUGUGUAAAUUAUUCUUCGGACCACAAGCAAAGUGUCCCGACACCACCGAGGAUGCGGGCCUAAGCUGCAAUCGCCUAGAUGCCCAAGUAAGUAACCUUAAAGCCGGACACUUCAUUUAUAUUUAUCAUGAUCAUUAUUCUAACACUCCCUCCGCGGCCAGGAAUGGCUUGACAAGGCGAAGAGAAUCAGGUGUCCGGCACCACUUCAUGAAGGCUCGCCUGGUCCCACCAUUGCAAAGGUGCUGGACCGGGCACUCAGCAAAAUCCCUUCAGAGAAGGACGAAGGAAAGGGCAGUGAUGCCGAACUUCACGCGCUGCGCAUCCAGACCGGGAAAAUCGCGAACCCUCCUAUGGAGGAUAGUCGGGAAGGGAAGGUCAAAGCCUCCUCCCCACGCGGGAAGAAGAGGGCCGCCUCCGAAGAUUUGGAGGCCGAAACGCCCAAGCAAGGGAAGAAAACAUCACCAAGGGGCUCUCCCGCGACGGGCGCCCUCACCAUGUCAUGCCCGCCAACGGGCCAGUCCGCUAACGAGUUGUAAGUCAUUCGUUAAUUAGAAGGUGAGAUGUUACUCCGAGAUCCAUAACCAGGACUUCAUUUUUUGUAGUCCGGCGAGCAGCUCUUCUCAACAGAGUUCGUCUUCAGGGGACCUUGGUCCGGAGAUGAUGGAGAGUGAAACCCCAUCCAACUCUCCGCCUCAUGAGGCGGGCGACACGGAGGUGUCGUCACGAAGGAGUCCGGAUAUGCCAAAGCCGGAGGCUAGUAUGUCAGCCGCCCUGAGCCCUGAGCCCUGAGCCGAGAGCGUUUGGAUAUGCCGAAGUCGGAGGCUAGUAUCCGGCAGCCGACCAGUCUAUUGAAGUUCCCGAACUAAGGAGGCAAAUCGGAUCCAUCGAUGCCGAUAUUACGCUGGUGAAUAAACGACUUGAGGAGUCCCAGGGUAUGUGCUUGGUUUUUAUUAUAAUGUGUAGGAAAAUGCCGAAGCGGCAUAAUAUUAAUGCAAUAUGUAUGCACUGCAGAUGGUGCUGUUGCCGUGGAGGCCCUGAGGGCGGAACUUGCUCAAGCGAAGGAGCAAGCUCGGGCAAGCAAUGCGGCUGACCUAAAGGCGGCCGAAGGGUUGAGAGCCGAACAGGCUGCUCGUCGCCGAAGCAAGGAAAAGAUGGCCGAAAUAGCUGAAGAGUUAAAAAAUGCCGCCGACCGGUAUGCACUCCUUGAGAAGGAGAAUAAGGCUAGUUUGGCUGAGCUGGACAAGGCACGUAAUGCAGCCAAGGAGAUGCGGACCGAGAUCCGGAGUAUGCGGGAGGAGCUCCAACAAGCUGACAAAAUCGUGGCUGGGGGCUCGUACUUACUGCGGACGAAGUUCUUGGAUCUGAAGUAUGCUCCCCUGGCGGGUCACAUGAGUCCUGCGGACGCAUAUGCGGACUUUGCGAAUAGUACAGCUGACGCUGUCAAGUUCUUCAAGGGUCAAGGCGAUGAAGAAGUGGAGAAGCUUUUCUGGUCGCAGUUUAAUGCUCCCACUCGCCCGCUGCCGCUUAAUGAGAAGGUGGCUGCUAUGGCGGAGCUCCACAGGCUGUCUGGUCUUGCAAUGCGGUCUGUAAUAGACCAUCUUUGGCCGAAGGGGCCUAAGCCGGACAUCUACUUUGGUUUGGUGCAACAAUUCCUUGGAGCCGUGUCCCGGAUUGAUGCCCUGAGAAGGUCGGCGUGCAUAGAGGGUGCGCGGAUGGCUCUAGCCCCCGUUAAAGCCUAUUGGACGGAUAUGGAGGCCACUGUAAUAGUGAGCCAGGAUCCGGUGGGAGGCCAACAUCCGGCCGAGCACUACUGGGCGCAAGUCACAGAAGGUGCCCGCCUAAUAGAGGCACAGUGCUCGAAGAGUGUUUUAUUCGAGUGAUGAGUCGAAGCAUUGUAGAAAACACUGUUUAGUUUAAUUAUGAGGCUAUGUUUAUACUUGUGCCCGGAAGUAUGAUUGUCCUCCCUUUGCGGCUAUUCUUAUAUGUAUAAGCAGUCUGAAAGAUAGCAGUCGUUGGCUUCAGCAUAAUCACACUUGAUCCAACGUCUUGGUCCGUUAAGGAGGUGAUUGCAUGCCAAACUAGGAAACCGGACUAUAUAGCUAUAACACUUUCGCUUAGCCAUGGGAGUCUAAUGGUGGGGCUACUAUGUAGCCCCUGGUACCACCGCGUGCAUCCGAAUACGGGUGCAUGUGUACAUGGCCGGGAAACGGCCCUUUGUUAAGGCGGAGGAAUCUUUAGGGAUUCCGGUGAGUCUUCCAGUGGUUGAACAGUCUCUCGUUGUAUCAUGACGGUCACUUUUCGGCUUUCUCUACUGAGGCGCUCAUCCGGAAUAACCAGGGCACAAUCGCAGUAGUUCUCCUUUGGCCUGCCUUAGUCGGAUGAUAGCGGAACGUAAGGCGGCAAACCCAGGAGCCGGGAAACCCCAACAUUUUGACCAAAGACAUGAUUCGGAGCUGAUGCAUAUACGGCCAAACUCGUGACGCCGAACACUCCCGAGGGUAUUCGGUCUUUUAUAAAAGAAGAUAGGCUGACAAGAGCCUAUUUUAAGCACUUUAUUUCUAGGUACGUGCAAUUUAGUCUGCCGUGGCCAAAUGCCAAAAACGGCAGUAUCCUCUGUGGGUAUAGAACCCAUGGGAUGGUUAAACAACAAGAGGCAGUAGAAAAGGUUUACACAGGGGCUUAAUCUAAAAAGAAACAUGUUGCACAGGGCCCUGCUACACGUCUGUGCCUUUGUCUCCGUUGCGCCGUAUCCUGGAAGGGUAUCGCGCGAACGUUGUCUAUAAAAAAGAAAAAACUCGUAGGAGGGUGCAACGUAACUAUGCGAUCAAUAAUAAGAGUGUAAGUUGUUGGCCUGCUGAUAAGGUCGAGCCAAGCGUGGGGCUGUAUUAAGUAUAGACAGCCCCUGGUUUCCCUUAUGGGAUUACAUAUACAGUUCCCUGUUUGAAUUUAUCCGGGCUACUGGACUCGUCUAACCGUGUCUGUGGUCGUAAUGACCAAUCAUGUUUUCUAAAACUGGAGGCUGCUUAUAGUCCGGCCAUCAGGGCCGUCGCGUAUUCCUCUGCGCGUGAAGGGCGCUUUAUGAUUCUGUGAACGGUGAUGAUGCCACGGGGACCGGGCAUCUUGAGUGUAAGGUGGCCAUAGUGCGGCAAUGCGUUGAAGCGGGCAAAGGUCGUUCUUCCUAGCAAUGCGUGAUAGCUGCUUUGGAAGGGUGCAACAGUGAAGAGCAGCUCUUCGCUUCUGGAGUUGCCUGGGGAGCCGAAUGUUACUUCCAGCACGACGGAGCCCCUGGCGCAGGCUGCAACGUCUGGUAUCACCCCUUCAAAGGUGGUAUUGCUUUGUUUAAUUCUGGAUGGGUCUAUCCCCAUUCUGCGGACAGUGUCCUCGUAUAUUAAAUUGAGACCACUGCCGCCGUCCAUGAGGACACGGGUGAUACGGUAUCCGUCGAUUAGUGGGUUAAGCACCAAGGCUUGUGAUCCUCCGUGCCGAAUACUAGUUCGGCCGUCCAUGUGAUCAGAAGUGAUCGGACGAGACAUCCAGUAGUGAGACAUGGGUACGACAGGCUCUUCAUCGUGCGCUUCUAUGGGCGCGCGUUUAUGCCCUCUCAUGGAUGUGCGAGUCGUGUGGAUCAUGUUUACUAUUUUAACCUCUGGCGGGAAUUUUUCUGUACCCCAGUGUUCGGCUGGUGAGGUUCAUCCUCGUCUUCGCUUGGUGUGCCCCUCCCCUUGUGUUUGGCAUUUAAUUUGCCGGCCUGCUUGAAGACCCAGCACUCUCUAUGGGUGUGGUUCGUAGGUUUUUUCUGGGUGCCAUGAAUUUGGCAUAGUCUGUCCAGGACUCUGUUUAGACCGGACAGUCCGUCUUUAGUCCCUUUGAAUGGCUUCUUGUUCUGAUCGGGUUGAGAGCCCCUGAAUCUGGCGUUAACUGUCGUCUUAUCCGGGCUCUCUUCCUUGUUUUGGCGUUUGUUUUCAUUUCGCCUUGGCUUCCCGUUGCCAUCCCUUAGUUCGGAUGUGCUGGGGUUGCUGGUGCCUUUACGGGCCAACCAACUAUCCUCACCCGCGCAAAAGCGGGUCAUAAGGCUUGUUAAGGCUGCCAUUGUCCUUGGCUUUUCUUGGCCAAGGUGUCGGGCGAGCCAUUCGUCAUGGAUGCUGUGUUUGAAAGCCGCUAAGGCUUCAGCGUCCGGACAGUCGAAAAUUUGAUUCUUCUUAGUGAGGAAUAUGUUCCAAAGCUUGCGGGCGGACUCUCCGGGCUGUUGGAUUAUGUGACUUAGAUCGUCUGCAUCCGGAGGCCGGACAUAAGUCCCUUGAAAAUUGGCCCUGAAAGCGUCUUCGAGUUCCUCCCAACUCCCAAUUGAGUUUUCGGGGAGGCUUUUCAACCAGUGUCGAGCUGGUCCCUUCAACUUGAGGGGAAGGUAUUUGAUGGCGUGGAGGUCAUCCCCACGAGCCAUGUGAAUAUGCAGGAUAAAAUCCUUGAUCCAGACCCCUUGCCGUCGUAUGCUUCUAUGUUCACAGGUUUAAAGCCUUGUGGGAAUUCAUGGUCCAGUACUUCUUCGGUGAAGCACAGGGGGUGAGCAGCCCCUCUGUAUCUGGACGCAGUGUGGCAUGUAGUCGGCUGUUGUUGUGUCCGGGGUUGAUUCUGAACUGGUAUUUGGCUUUUAUGAGCGUUUGGGUGACCAUAGUCCUGCACUGGGGUAUGUCUUCUAGAUCCAUAUAUGGACCUGGCUGCACCGGUCUUUUUAUCCGGAUGCUCACGUGGAUCGUGCGCAGUGUCCGCGGCCACUCUGUUAUGAAUGUGAGGCGGUACGUCUGGUUUCUUGGUCGGAUUUUCUUUUGGUGGAACGGCCGCGUCGUCGAAUUCUGGCAGUAGCUUGCGCUUCGGAUAGCUUUUCGUAUGGCGGUCAUCGCCAUAUCUUUCUUCAGUGUCUAGCACCCUAUUCCAUCUGCGAAUUAGCUUUUCUUGUGCGGCCUUGAGCCGUUGCUUCUGCUUUUCUAGACUUCUUGCGGUGGCCAUAAGCUUUCUGUGGAGGUUGUCUCGUUGCACUUGUUCGUCCGGGAUGAUGAAUGCAUCGUUGUCCGGACUGUCUUCCUGUUCCUUUGUCGCCUGCUUCCCACUCGGGCCGGACAAAGUUUGGCCCAGAGUCUCCUGACAUAGAGAGAGACUUCAAGGAGUUCAGCAUGUCGCCAAAGGGCGAGUGCUGAAAGAUGUCCGCAGCGGUAAACUCCAUUACCGGAGCCCAACCUGGCUCGGCUGGCUCGAGAGUGAGCGGAAAAGGACCAACAGCCAGAUAUGAGUCCGGGGGUCCGGGGUUACAGGCCUCCACAGAGGUGGGACCCAUGUUCGGCUCCACCGCUGAUAAGUGUGCGGCUUGCGAAGCGGGGUCCAGCCCACCGUCCAUAGGCAACGCAACCUGUCCUGGAUUCAGAUCCAAGGCUGCUUCAGGGAUGAUGUCCCGGGCACUGUCCGACGGCAGGUCUAGGCCAUGCUCGUCGGGGCUGUCCAGCGCUCCUGGCGCAGGCUCGAAUCCGCCGAAGAUCAAGUCUCCGUGGAUAUCCGCCGUGUAGUUCAAGUUUCCGAACCUGAUCUGGUGGCCAGGGGUGAAGCUGUCGAUCUGCUCCAACUGGCCAAGCGAAUUGGCCCGCAGUGCGAAGCCGCCGAACACAAAGAUCUGUCCGGGGAGAAAAGUCUCACCCUGGACCGUGUUGUUGACGGUUGAAGACGCCAUCAAGCCUCGAAGCGACGACAUAGAGGAACUCUCAAUGAAAGCACCAAUGUCGGUGUCAAAACCGGCGGAUCUCGGGUAGGGGGUCCCGAUCUGUGCGUCUUAGGCUAAUGGUAACAGGAAGCAAGAGACACAGUGUUUACCCAGGUUCGGGCCCUCUCGAUGGAGGUAAAACCCUACUUCCUGCUUGAUUAAUAUUGAAGAUAUGUGGAAUACAAGAGUAGAUCUACCACGAGAUCGUAGAGGCUAAACCCUAAGAGCUAGCCUAUGAUGGUAUGAUUGUAAUUGUGAUCGGCCUUCUAAGGACCAUGCCCUCCGGUUUAUAUAGACACCGGAGAGCUAGAGUUUACAUGGAGUCGGUUACAAGGAAGGAAACAUAAUAUCCAGAUCGCCAAGCUUGUCUUCCAUGUAAAGGAGAGUCCCAUCCAGACACGAGCCGAAGUCUUGAGUCUUGUAUCUUGACGCUUCUAUAGUCCGGACGAUGUAUAUAGUCCGGCUGUCCGGAUACCCCCUUAUCCAGGACUCCCUCACCAUCCCAUAGACAACUUCUUGAUUUUGCCGCAAAAGGAUGUUUUAUUGAAAUUGAUCCUAGUUUCGCCUAUGAAAUUAUAGAAGGGAUUGUAGGAGUACUUCCCGUAAAAAAAGGGUUCAUCCUUCUCUCUUGAAGGAACUCAAAUUUUAGAGAAACUUUGUGAGUUGCAAAAAAUUGUUGAACCACUUAAGAAUAUUGGUGGGAGUAUCAACCGCAUGAAUAACUUGAUUGUACUUUGCAAUAAGCGGUUGGAUGCUUUGGAUCAAAGGAUCUCUGAGCAUGAAGGGAAACGCAAAGAGCCUCCUGGACCUGAGCACAACUCCAUUAAAAAGUUGAGUGCCAAAGAUGGCGCCACUUAGAUCUAUCUUUGCUUUUAUGCCUAGCUAGGGGCGUUAAACGAUAGGGCUAGUUGGGAGGCAACCCAAUUUUUCUUUAUGUUUUUUGUUUUUGCUCCUUUUUAGUAAUAAAUCUUGCAUCUACUCUCUGGUUAGAUGUGUUUUUAUCUUUUAGUUAGUGUUUGUGCCAAGUAGAACCUAUAGGAUAAGCUAUGAUGAUAGUUGAUUUGAUUCUGCUGAAAAACAGAAACUUUGCGCUCACGAGAAAAAAUUCAAUAAAUCACAGAAACGGGCUUUUGCAUUUAUUCUUUUUGCUUCUGAUCAAUAAACAAAUUUUCCAGUACGUCCUAUUUUUGUAGGAUUUUUAGAGUUCCAGAAGUUUGCGUUAGUUACAGAUUGCUACAGACUGUUCUGUUUUUGACAGAUUCUGUUGUUCGUGUGUUGUUUGCUUAUUUCAAUGCAUCUAUGGCUAGUAAAUUAGUUUAUAAACCAUAAGGAAGUUGGAAUACAUUAGGUUUAACACAAAAAUAAAUAAAGAAUGAGUUCAUUGCAGUAACUUCUGUGGUGUUUUUUUUCACUAACGGAGCUUAUAAGAUUUCCUGUUGAGUUUUGUGUUGUGAAGUUUUCAAGUUUUGGGUAAAGCUUUUAUGGACUAUGGAAUAAAGAGUGGCAAGAGCCUAAGCUUGAGAAUGCCCAAGGCACCCCAAGAUAUUCAAGAAUAGCCAAAAGCCUAAGCUUGGGGAUGCCCCGGGAAAGCAUCCCCUCUUUCGUCUUCGUUCAUUGGUAACUUUACUUGGAGCUAUAUUUUUAUUCGCCACAUGAUAUGUGUUUUGCUUGGAGCAUCGUGUAUUAUAUUAGUCCUUGCUUUUUAGUUUACCACAAUCAUCCUUGCUGUACACACCUUUUUGGAUAAGCCUAUUUAAUUAGAAUUUGGUAGAAUACUCUAUGUGCUUCACUUAUAUCUUUUGAGCUUGAUAGUUUUUGCUAUAGUACUUCACUUAUAUCUUUUAGAGCACGGUGGUGGCUUGAUUUUAUAGAAAUUGCUAGUCUCUCAUGCUUCACUUAUAUUAUUUUUAGAGUCUUUUAGAAAAGCAUGGUAUUUGCUUUGGUUACAAAUUUGGUCCUAGAAUGAUGAGCAUCCAAGUUGGGUAUAAUAAAAACUAUCAUAGAAAUUGAAUUGGAUGCUAUGAUCAAUUUGUUGCUUGAUAACUGUUUUGAGAUAUAAAGGUAGUAAUGUUAGGGUCAUGCUAGUGGGUAAUUAUGAAAUUGAGAAAUACUUUUGUUGAAGUUGGCAAGUCCCAUAACAUGUACGUAUGGUAAAAGUUGUGUGACAAAUUUGUUGCAUGAGGUGCUCUUUUGAGUGUCUUCCUUAUGAGUGGCAGUCGGGGACGAGCGAUGGAAUUUUUUCCUACCAAUCUAUCCCUCUUGGGGCAUGCGUAGUAGUACUUUGCUUCGAGGGCAAAGUAGACUUUUGCAAUAAAUAUAUGAGUUCUUUUUUUGACUAAUGCGAGUUCGUGGACAUAUGCACACUUAUCCUUUUACUUUGCUAGCCUUUAUUAUUACCGUGCAACUCUCGCCGGUAUUGAAUCCUUUAUUUACCUUCCUCAAAACAGCCACCAUACCUACCUAUUAUGUCAUUUCCAUAGCCAUUCCGAGAUAUAUUGCCAUGCAACUUUCCACCGUUCCGUUUAUUAUGACACGUUUCAUCAUUGUCAUAUUGCUCUUUGCAUGAUCAUGUAGUUGACAUCGUAUUUGUGACAAAGCCACCUUCAUAAUCUUCAUACAUGUCGCUCUUGAUUCAUUGCAUAUCCCGGUACACCGCCGGAGGCAUUCACAUAGAGUCAUAUCUUGUUCUAGCUUUGAGUUGUAGUUUUUGAGUUGUAAAUCCAUAAAAGUGUGAUGAUCUUCAUUAUUAGAGCAUUGUCCUAGUGAGGAAAGGAUGAUGAAGACUAUGAUUACCCCACAAGUCAGGAUGAGGCUUUGGACUUUAUAAAAAUAAAAGAGGCCAAAGAUGCCCACCAAAAAGAAAAGAAAAAGGAAAAAAGAAAAAAAAAGAAAAAAAAGAGAAAAAAGAGAAAAAAGAGAAAAAUCAAAAGAGAGAAAAGGAGAGAAGGGACAAUUGCUACUAUCUCUUUUUCCACACUUGUGCUUCAAAAUAGCAACAUGAACUUCAUGAUAGAGAGUCUCAUAUGUUGUCAAUUUCAUAUACUAGUGGGAAUUUUUCAUUUCAGAACUUGGCUUGUAUAUUUCAAUGAUGGGCUUCCUCAAAGUGCCCUAGGUCUUCGUGAGCAAGCAAGUUGGAUGCACACCCACUUAGUUUCUUUUGUUGAGCUUUCAUAUAUUUAUAGCUCUAGUGCAUCCGUUGUAUGGUAAUUCGUACUCACUCACAUUGAUAUCUAUUAAUGGGCAUCUCCAUACAGCCCGUUAGUACGCCUAGUUGAUGUGAUACUAUCUUCUCCCUUUUUGUCCUCACAACCACCAUAUACCACCAUAGUGCUAUGUCCAUGGCUUGCGCUCAUGUAUUGCGUAAGAGUUGAAAAAGCUGAAGCGCGUUAAAAAGUAUGAACCAAUUGCUCGGCUCGUCAUCGGGGUUGUACAUGAUGGGAGUAUUUUGUGUAAUGGAAAUGAAGCAUGGCCUAACUAUAUGAUUUUGUAGGGAUAAGCUUUCUUUGGCUAUGCUAUUUUGAUAGGACAUGAUUAUUUGUUAGUAUGCUUUGAAGCAUUAUUAUUUUUAUGUUUUAUAAGCUUUUAUCUUGAAUCAUUUGGAUCUGAACAUUCAUGCCACAUGAAAGAAAAUUACAUUAUGAAUUAUGCUAGGUAGCAUUCCACAUCAAAAAUUCUUUUUUUUAUCAUUUACCUACUCGAGGACGAGUAGGAAUUAAGCUUGGGGAUGCUUGAUACGUCUCCACCGUAUCUAUAAUUUUUUAUUGUUCCAUGCUAUUAUAUUACCUCUUUUGGAUGUUUAUGGGCUUUAUUUUACACAUUUAUAUCAUUUUUGGGACUAACCUACUAACCGGAGGCCCAGCCCAUAUUGCUGUUUUUUUGCCUAUUUCAGUAUUUCGAAGAAAAGGAAUACCAAACGGAGUCCAAACGGAAUGAAACCUUUGGGAGCGUGAUUUUUGGAACGAACGUGAUCCGGAGAGCUUGGAGUGCAAGUCAAGAAGCUCCCAAGGACCCCACGAGAUAGGGGGCUGCACCCCCCCUGUAGGGCGCGCCCCCUGUCUCGUGGGCCCCUCGGGCGGCCACCGACGUACUUCGUCCUCCUAUAUAUACCUACGUGCCCCAAAAACAUCAAGGAGCACCAUGAAACACAAUUUCCACUGACGUAACCUUCUGUAUCCGCGAGAUCCCAUCUUGGAGCCUUCGCCGGCACUCUGCUGGAGGGGGAAUCGACCAUGGAGGGCUUCUACAUCGACAUCCUUGCCCGUCCGAUGAGUUGUGAGUAGUUUACCACAGACCUACGGGUCCAUAGUUAUUAGCUAGAUGGCUUCUUCUCUCUUUUUGGAUCUCAAUACAAUGUUCUCCCCCUCUCUUGUGGAGAUCUAUUCGAUGUAAUCUCUUUUUGCGGUGUGUUUGUCGAGAUCCGAUGAAUUGUGGGUUUAUGAUCAAGUUUAUCUAUGAAUAAUAUUUGAAUCUUCUCUGAAUUCUUUUAUGUAUGUUGAGUUAUCUUUGCAAGUCUAUUCGAAUUAUCAGUUUGGUUUGGCCUACUAGAUUGGUGUUUCUUGCCAUGGGAGAAGUGCUUAGCUUUGGGUUCAAUCUUGCGGUGUUCUUACCCAGUGACAGAAAGGGUUGCAAGACACAUAUUGUAUUGUUUCCAUCAAGGAUAACAAUAUGGGGUUUACAUCAUAUUGCAUGAGUUUAUCCCUCUACAUCAUGUCAUCUUGCUUAAUGUGUUACUCUGUUCUUAUGAACUUAAUACUCUAGAUGCAGGCAGGAGUCGGUCGAUGUGUGGAGUAAUAGUAGUAGAUGCAGGCAUGAGUCGGUCUACUUGUUAUGGACGUGAUGCCUAUAUACAUGAUCAUGCCUAGAUAAUCUCAUAACUAUGCGCUUUUUUAUCAAUUGCUCGACAGUAAUUUGUUCACCCACCGUAAUACUUAUGCUAUCUCGAGAGAAGCCUCUAGUGAAACCUAUGGCCCCUGGGUCUAUCUCUUAUCAUAUUUGCUUUCAAUAUACUUUAUUUGCAUAUUUACUUUUUGCAUCUAUAUUAUAAAAUACCAAAAAUAUAUUUAUCUUAUCUUAUUAUCUCUAUCAGAUCUCACUUUCGCAAGUGGCCGUGAAGGGAUUGACAACCCCUUUAUUGCGUUGGUUGCGAGUUCUCAGUUUGUUUGUGUAGAUGCGUGGGACUUUUGAGGAGCCUCCUACUGGAUUGAUACCUUGGUUCUCAAAACUGAGGGAAAUACUUAUGCUACACUUGCUGCAUCACCCUCUCCUCUUCGGGGAAAACCAACGCUAGCUCAAGACGUAGCAAGGAGGUAUGUAUGUUUGUCUCUAAUGCAUGUCGACUACAUACCUGACAUCAUGAUGUAAUGUUAAGUCAUUUUCUUUUGUAUGGUGUAACUGAAUUGAUAAGGCGGUGAUGGCAUUUUAUUUUACUAGAACUGCACAAAUUUUGCUUAAAAGAAGAGGAAAGGUCAGGAAUGGCUCAUUUUUUCAGAAAAAACUAUGUAUGCCUUCCUGACAUCAGCCGUUGUUGCUUUAUUUAUUCCUUCAAACAGGUGGUUAGAAACAGUCUUGCUACCUUUUCCCAUUAAGAAAUUGGAAUGCUUAUAUUUGUGAGUCUAUGCUUCAACUAGUGCCACUUUUAUAGUAAUCACACUUUCAAUAUCUAUGCAAACAGGGAUGCUCGAUUUUAGUGGAACUGCACAAAAAGUCCAACUGGUUCAACAUUAGGAGCAUGUUUUUUUCCAAACCUUUAUAUCCAAUUGGUGGCACUAUGAGCUGUUCAUUACGAAGGUACAUGGUUUGCUACUAUCUUGCUACUCUUUUUGUACUGUCAUUAGAUAGUAAUACUAGUGGUUUGCAUGUGAAUUUAUUGGCAGGGUGGACCUACAUUGGAGGUGCAGGACAAGAUUCAACGAUUGGAUGCUCAAUUUCGGUUGUAUCGAUUUCACCUCUUCCAUCACUGCGAACAUGGAUAUCCUUGGUCUGAUGAAGAAUAGGCGCUAUAUUUCAGCUCUGAACUAGCAAAUCAAUUCAGUAUGAAAUUGUCCAGGGCAAAACAUAACUGUAUCAGAUUGUCCAGUGCAGAACCUAACAGAUGCUAAGCGGAAGAGACAUGUUUAAACCGAAAAUACAUGGUGUGGUAUAUGUUUACUAGCUGCUUGAUAUUUGUGCAGACGGAGAUGUCUGCCUGUUGCUAUUUGGCAAACAAACAAAGUGUCCUCAAUUUUGGUUGAACUGCACAAGAGAAUAGUAUAGUCACUGCAUGCAGUGCCAUUUGAAAAUAGACACAAAGAUUGGAUAGUCACUUCAUGGACUGCAGAAAAGUAAUACUGUACUAUUUACUGGCCAACAGUUGGUGCUUCAUUGCUUUGGUCUGAUUAUACAAUGGGCAUCAUUUUGGCUAAGUUAAAGUUUGUAUUCCGAAAAUAGUCUCGCGGUGUGAUCGAGAGAAGACCAAAUCAUAUUGUAGUGGAUGUUCCUCCAUCAUGUGUGGUUCAUUCUCAUGGUUCCAGCUGUUGGUGAAACCACUUACGUUUGCAAGAGGAAUUGUAGACUUCACAAACAAAUUUGUCUUCCAGUCUGUACUGAAUGUUGGCCAAGAGAAGCAUCCAUGUUAGUAGGAAGAACAUAUGUUUUUUCUAGAUCUUUGCUUUUGGAGCUACAUAUUUUUAUAUGAUCUGUGAAUCAUUGAGAUGCAUUAACAUGUUGAUCUUAUGUAUGGGAAUCGUACUAGUUAGUUUUAGUUGCGACGCAAGAACCGAAGUGGAUGAUCUUUGCUUUUGGAGCCACAUAUUUGUAUAUGAUCUGUGAAUCAUUGAGAUGCAUUAACAGUUACUUAUUUCUGUUUGCUCAGUGUUUACAAGUUACUGAUCGAUCACUAGCUAGCCUACAAAUGCGCUCCUGGCAGUUUUAUUUCGAUGCAAGAAGCGAAGUGGCAGUUUUUUGAAUAAAAAUGCCUACCUCUGAAGAAACUGACAAGCUACACUAUCGGUCCUACGUGGAUAAAAAUGCCUACCUCUGAAGAAACUGACAAGCUACACUAUCGAUCCUACACGGAUAAAUAGCGGAUCACGCACGUACUACCUCAUUUCCGGUUUGCAGGGCUCAAUUCAAGAAACGACCUACUCGAUCCUACACGAAUAAAUAGCGUAUCACGCACGUACUAGUACCUCCUUUCCGGUUUUCAUGGCUUAAUUCAAACCUCUCACCAACCAAGGUACUCCCUCCGUCCGGGUUUAUUAGUCCCAUGAGCAAAGUAGCAAGACCAAGGCAUGGCAAUAAUUAACGGCAUGCAGAAGUUUAAGCCUAAUUAAUUCCAGCGAUUUAAGUGGCUGCAUGCGUGCCCUCGGCUGCGACUUGUUGCAUGCUGCUUCGCGUACUGCCUGUGAGCGAUUCUGAGUGCCUGCAUGUAGCCGGCCGUAAUUAAGGCAGCCAACUGAUGCGGAAAAAGAUACGCUUUAAUUGUUGCGGGCUUUUUAAAUCCGUGGAAUCAUUAUUGACAAGGAGGGAGAUGAUUCGAGUGCACUCGUUUGACUGCCAUGCCGGCGUGCGACCCAGACGGGGCGGGACGGCAUAGUCAUAAUUUUAGUUUCUCUACUUUUCCACGGCAAGAUGGUGCGCUAAGCCAUUAUGCAUUGAAUUCCGAUGACUGUCGCGCUACCUUCCCCCUAUAAGUAUUGUUUCCUGGCCUUCUCAGGUGCCAUCGUGACCCAACUCGCCAUAUCCUCAUAAGCCCCCAUCGGCCCGACAUUGCUCGCCACGUCCGCCAUGCCCCUGCCCGUCCGCGAUAGGCGAUGCCGGAGGCGGUCACCGCCGGAACUAGUGUUCGGUUUUUCACCGGAAGACAGACGGAGGGAGGAGGCAUUCUAUCUGUCUUUAGAUGGUAAUGUGGAGAUCGAGGAGUUGUUGGAGCGCGACCGCAUGGCGGAGGAGCAGGAGUUGUUGGAGCGCGACCGCCUGGCGGAGGAGCAGCGUAUCACCGAUUUGCGCCGCCAGCGGGACAUGGAGCAGCAGCGCACCGACGCCCUGAGUCGUGAGCAGAGCGCCCGCAACUGGGCCGACUAUGUGGAGGGCGGUGCCCGGCAAAUAGCUCUGGAGGCUGUCGGGCACGCACGCGUCCGCGACGCUGAUUUUUACUACCAGCUCGUCAAGUGGGUUUCUCGCUUGGAAGCCGAAGCUUCGGUGGACCACGCCGGCAUGGAAAGGGCCAACGCGCGCGAGCAACGCGCCCUAUCGCACCUCUUGCAAGUCCGAGGCGAGGCGCAGGACGCCAGUGCCGGCGUUUAGCGUGUACCACAGAUGGCGGCCGGCAUCGUCUAGUUAGCUAAGAGUAAGUUAGUACUUGUACGCUACUAGAGUAUUAGUGGGAGUAGAUACUUAACUUGGCUAUGAUGGUUGUCAACGUGGAAGUUCAGUACUCUAUAUGUGGAUCAGACCUGUUACUUUGCUCCGAAUCUUGAACUUUCCGUUUGAACAUAUGGAAUGGGCUGUUAUUUUUUUAAAUGGGUUGUAUUUGUCCUCCACGGGUUUAGAAGCUGACUUGUGGGCCUAGCAAGUUGACGCAUACACAAUCAGGAGAUGAUUGUACGUGGAGAGGAUGAUAGGGACCCGCCAAGGUCAUGGCAGUACGCAAGCAAGUGCCUCCUUAUUUCAAGCCAAUAAAAAAUGGCUCCUUCUAGUGGAUUUCUGACAUCUUGGUCCCAUGCCAUUGACAACGUAGUCAAUAAACGAGAGAAUUGCACAACGAGCGGCUGACACCAGGACCCAGCAGCUCGCCCAGUUAUUUUUGUUUUGGGUUAAUUUGAUAAAUGUCACUCCAAAUCUGGUGUAUCCGAGAAAUGCCACUGCAAUUUCCGAACUUUGAAAAAUGCCAUUUCAUGCCAUUUCUAGUGGCAUUUUUCGAAGUCUGGAGUGGCGUUUUUCAAAGUUUGCAAACUGCAGUGGCGUUUUUCAAAGUUAUCAAAAAUUGCAGUGGCAUUUUUCAAAGUUUGGAAAUUGCAGUGGCAUUUUUAUGAAUCGCCAUAAUUGGAGUGGCAUUUAUCUAAUUUGUUUUUGAGACGGAAGCAGGGUGUCAACUGGGCUGUGCGGAACACUCUAGCCUGUCUAGACAGCCUUUUCUUUUAUGUUUACCACAGACCAGACCAGUAGUUUUUUUUUCUUUUUGAAAAUGGCUAGCCCAGUUUUUUGUGAUUUGUCAAAUAAGUUGCUUUAUCAGGCCUGUUGGGCUGCAAAUCUUUAAUGACGAGGAGAGCUUCAUUCGGCUAGCCGAGAAAAUGGCCUAUCAGUAAUGAGAAAUGGGUUGUACAUUUUUAAAACACAUCAAACCGGAAAUUAGAUUCAAAUAUCUUUUUUUCAUUUUGAGAUUUUAAAUAGCAUUGAUUUUUAUGCGUGGAUAACUUAUUGGAUUUUAUAUUGAUAUACAUUUAUUUUUAAAAUCAGUCUGAAUGUGACUCGAAAUUUCGGGAUUAAAAACAAUUCAGACCCCACCGACAUAUGCAAAAUUUCGUAUAAUUUUUUAACCGUGGCCACAAUAUGGGCUGUAAUGCUAACAAAAAGAAUAUGGGCUCCAAAAAAACCCGUAAGAAUUAGCAAAUGGGCUGUAAAUUAUUUGAAAUAAUGGCAGAUGGGUUGUAAGCUGUUUUCCACAGAUUUGAGGCUUUCCACAGAUGGCAUGUAUACUGUUGGAUGUCCAUCCAACGGCUGUCGUGCUUCUUCAAUCUCUGCUCCAGCUGCUCAAACAAGCGCCGGCGGGACUGCCUGCUCCCUCCUCCCCGCGGCCGGCUGUGCUACCGCGCAGGCCUCACGGCCCCACCGUACUCCCAUCGCUGGCCUAGCCAUCCCUCUACUCACCCACAGUCCCACACCUGUUGUUAUUCUCCGGCGACGGCAGACGAACCAGUAAACCCUCGUACAGUCGUACUUCCCUCCGCGUGGGAAACAACUGUCGAGUCUUCCCUGCCUCCGUGCCGUUCCUUUCCUAGGCCUCGCCGUCGUCCACCGCCUUGGUGCUCUCGGCGUGGCAUGGUCAACAUGGUCAACGACCGACAUGCAUCUAACAGCUGGGUCCACGGCCGCACGCAAGGAAAUGCCUCCUUAUUACGCGCAAAAUAAUGAUUCCUCCACGUGACAUCUGGGACUCACCGAAAGGGCCUCUGUAUUUCGUGAAAAAAACAUUACCGCCGCUGACAGCUCGAACCCACCAGCUAUAUCUUCGCACGCAAGGAAGUGCCUCCUUAUUGCGCACAAAAAAUAUUAAUACUCCCCCUGCUAGCUAGGACCAAGUAUAGUGGGCCUACUAAGUUGACGGGGACGAAGGGCUUUGUCAACUUAGUCAAUAUGCACGAUUCUAGCUCGACUGACCGUACGAUGUCCAUCCAACAGCCGUAGUGCUUCUUCAACCUCUGGUCUUCUUGCUCCAGCCGCCCAAAGCAGCGCCGGUCGUGCCGCCUGCUCAUGCCUCCCGUGGCCGGUUGUGCUGCCGCAGAGGCCUCACUGCCCCCAUACUACUCCCACCGCUGGCCAGGCCAUCCCUUCACUCCACUCACCAACACCCCCUGUUAUUCUACGGCGACGGCAGCGCAGCCGAACCAGUGAACCCUCGUACUCCUCUCCGCGUGGGCAUCCACUAUCGCGUCUUCCCUGACUCCGCGUCGUCCCCUUCCUAGGCCUCGUCAUCGUCCACCGCUGUGGUGCUCUCGGUGCGGCGUGGUCAAUGUGGUCAACGACCGAAUUCCAUCAGAAGAAUACUGUACAUGGAGAGGCUGAUAGCUGGGUCCACGGCAGCCGCAAGGAAGUGCCUCCUUAUUACGCGGAAAAUAAUUAUUCCCUCCACCUGACAGCAGGGACCCACCGAAUGGGCCACCUGUAUUUCGCGAAAAAAAUGUUUGCCCCUGACUGCUGGGACCCACCCGACGGGCCACCGUAUUUCAUGAAAAAAUGUUCCCCCUGCUAUCAGCUCGGACCCGCCGGAAGUGCCUCCUAAUUACGGACAAAAAAAAUGAAUACCCCCCUGCUAGUUAGGACCCGCUUUGGUGGGAGGCUGACUUGUGGUCCUACUAAGUUUACGGGGACGGAGGGUUUUGUAAACUUAGUCAAUAUAAACGAUUCUAGCUCCACUGACCGUACGAUGUCCAUCCAACGGCCGUAGUGCUUCUUUAUCUUCUGGUCUUCUUGCUCCAGCCGCCCAAAGCAGCGCCGGUCGUGCCACAUGCUCCUGCCUCCCGUGGCCGGAUGUGCUGCCGCGGAGGCCUCACCGCCCCCUACUAUUCCCACCACUGGCCAGGCCCUGCAGCGACGGCUGCCUCACACCGCAGCCGAACCAGUGAACCCUCGUACUCCUCUCCGCGUGGGCUUCCACUGUCGCGUCUUCCCCGGCUCCCCGUUGUCCCCUUCCUAGGCCUCGCCGUCGUCCAUCGCCCUGGUGCUCUCGGCGCGGCAUGGUCAACGUGGUCAAGGAAUGACUUCCAUCGGACAUGGACUGUACAUGGAGAGGCUGACAGCUGGGUCCACGGCCGCAGCAAGGAAGUGCCUCCUUAUUACGUAGAAAAUAAUUAUUCCUCCACCUGACAGCGGGGACCCACCAGACGGGCCAACAUAUUUCAUGAAAAAAAUGUUUCCCCCUGACUGCUGGGACCCACGAGCUACAUCUUCGCACGCAAGGAAGUGCGUCCGGGCAAAAAAAAUGAUUCUCCCCUGACUGCUGGGACCCACCAGCUACAUCUUCGCACGCAAGAAAGUGCCUGACAGUCGGGACCCACCUGGUCGAAGCGUAUGUAGCAUUGUCAUUCUGGUCGCGAACGUGUACGUACAUACUCGUGGAUGUAGAGGCGCGCACGUGUCAUAGUAGAGGCGCGCUCGUGUCAUAGUAGAGGCGCGCAUGUAGCAUGUACACGUACGUACAGCGGCCAAUGCGCAACAAAGAAAAUACGGCCACGUAUGUGUACAUAUGGGCGGGGUCUCGAAUGCCUACUCGCGCAUAUAUACGUACGGCCAGGGCUCGUGUGCAUGGCUUGGUCGGAACGGAGAAACAACAUCGUCGUCGUGUUCAUGGGGAGCCAACCGGCUGGGUCGGAACGGAAUGCGUCGUCGUGUUCAUCGGGAGGGCUUGGACGGAACAGGCGAUUGAAACGAGGCCUGGCGUACCGCAGAACGGAGGAAACGGCCUUGUGUUCGACCGGCCAUGUUUGAAACAGGAUCAUGUUCAUCGGGAGGGGUCUGGCGUACCGCAAAACGGAGGAAACGGACCCCCUACGGUCGAAACGGGGGUCCUGUUGAUCGGGAGGGGUGUGGCGUACCGCAAAACGGAGGAAACGUACCUCCUACGAUCGAAACGGGGGUCCUAUUGAUCAGGAGGGGUGUGGCGUACCGCAAAACGGAUGAAACGGACUUGUGUUGGAGCGCUACGAUCGAAACGGGGGUCCUGUUUAUCGGGAGGGGUGUGGCGUAGCAUAAAACGGGACUCCACGGGAUACUGUUCAUCUCCAUCGUCGACCUCCUCCAGCCUCCACGGGCUACCGUUCAUCCAGCCUCCAUGGGCACCCCUCCAUCGUCUACUAUUCAUCCAGCCCUCCAUACCACGGGGUCCUGUUCAUCCACCCCUCCACGGGCACCCCUCCACCAUCUACUGUUCAUCCAGCCCUCCACACCACGGGGUCCUGUUCAUCCAGAGGCAACACCAUUGCUCACUGUUCAUUCAACCCCCCUCCCCCCCGCAACACUCACUGUUCAUCCAAUCGAUCGGCUUCAGUUAGCAGCAGUAGCGAAGGAAUCGCUCGAUCGGGUUCAGUUAACAGCCAUCGAUCGAUCGCUCGGAUUCAGUAACACGUAGCCUGCAGUGCAAUCGCUCGGGUUCAGUAACACGUAGCCUGCAGUGCAAUCGCUCGGGUUCAGUUAGAGCCCAACGCCUCGCUCGGGUUCAGUUAGAGCCAACACCUCGCACACAUGCGCGUACGUGUACGAGAGAAACGCGCAUCGCUCGGCCCCCGACCUCCCAUCGUAACCGGGAACUCCCCGAAAUUUUCCUCCCCCUCGCUUCUACCACGGUUUUUUCCGUCAUGGACGGCCCAAAGAAUGUCAUGCAGCUGCAUCUCCGGCCCGCCCAGGACGAAAAGCCAAUUUUCUGUCAUGAUUUUUUAUCAUAGAAGUAGGAGCCCACCAUAUCUAUGAUGAUACCGGGUUUUGUCACAAUUAUCGUCAUAGAAGUGUCAUAUGUAUGACAGAAAAAAAAUCCGUUCGGCCCAAAAUGUCACGGAUGUGUCUUUUUUUGUAAUGAAGUUUAUAACAACAACUGCUACCAUUGAACUAUCAUUGAGCAUGAACAUAUUGGUCCAUUUCACUUGUAUACGUUGCCACAAAACGCUAUAGUUAGCACUCAAACUACUAUAAUUAGCUCAAAAAUAUUGUGUUGUCAAUUUCUUAGAGCAACUCUGGGAGAGUCGUCAAAAUGGCAAUCUUCAUAAUCAUUAUAGAGUGCACUUCAUAAAAAAUGAAAGCUGAAGCGGAAACGUGCAAACUCGGACUCCAUAUUAGCCGCCUCCAUAAUCGUGGGACGCACAUGUCAAUGUGACAUCCCCUUUUCCCCAACCUCUCUGCCAUCCCAUGUAAGGUAGGGGCACCUGAAGUUUCCUCACACCAUACGUAGCUGCCAUAUGGAGUGCACUCCAAAAAGAAGCCUCAAGACACCAUAUAUGGUGACUGUGAGGUAUGGAGGGUGCUCCAUAAAUUGCGGCGAUGCCUAACAAGAUGGCCACUCAGAGUGUUAUUUUCUGGCCAAAUUCGACAUAAUAUGCUUAUUUUAGCCAUCGGGCCGAUAUAACGACUUUGCUAGAGUUGCUCUUAGUACUAGAGUGGAUAUUCAUCAUAAUGAGUAUCAUUAUCGCAAGUAGGAGCUUCCAUGUGCUAGGUAAAACUAGCAAUGACAUUGUACUCUUCAAGCUCCACAUCUGCUCAUUUGUUGCUGCCAUGUGCCAUCAUCCUCGACAUCUACUUGGCGUUGUAGUACAUCAUCGUUUUCCUUUUGUUACCGCCAAAGAAUAUGCAACUUAUUAGUCUACAAAACAAAAUAAAAAAAGGCAUAUUGAAAUGUGCAGGUUGCAACAUACCUUAGCCCUUUUUUAUUCAUAUGGCAGAUUUAGUUGGUUGCACAUUUCCUUAUCUAGCUUGCCAAUCCAAGUUAUCUUCCCCUUUAAAUAUCUUGAUUGAUCCUCCUUUUUCUUAAUGUGUGCAUUUUUUAGCGACUCAUCUGGGGAGUUUACUCCCUCGUGUUCGCUCGCGGGAUCCCCACACGCGGAGGAAUCCGUCCCAGACAACCGACCACUUUUUUCAAGAGGACCAGGUGGGCCAUGGGAGAUGUGCACGAUCGAUCCCUUCCUUUUUUUCUCGUUUCUCCCUCAGGUAAUAAUUUUUAGGGUGGACCCCACUUAAACCUGCCUAAUCUGUAAGAUAUGUUAGCUUCCUCAUGUAAUCACAAUCCCCCCCCCCCAACCCGAUUUUCAGGGUGGGCCAACCUUUGCCUGCCUAAUCUCUCAUAUCUCUGAUUAUUAAAAGGACUGUGUUGUUUCCAAACUUUUGCUGCCUGAAACCGAGCACUGCAUCGUGCGCGCAAUAGCAUCUCCCCUCAUCCGUUUGAUGGACAUUUUACUCAACAGAAAUCAUAAGCACAACACUAAAAACGGUAGUCUCUAUUAAUUGGCCGAGCCCAAGAAAAACACCAAAAAGCCCUAGAUCAUCGUCUGUGCCAAAAGUAGUGUCAAAUGUUACAACACCACCAAAGUGUGAAGAAUCAUUUUAGCAUAAGCAUGUAAUAUGUUUGUUAUAUGAUCCCCGCAGUCAGCUGCAAAUCACAUUGGAAUAAUAGGUUCUCGACAAUUUCAUCAUGGAAAUUUUCAACGCACUUUACGCCUAACCAAAAAUCAACUCUCUCUACUGCUUGCUCUGCAAAUAUUUUUUGUGGUCAUGGAAACCAACAACAAGUGCAGCUAAGGCCAAGUAUAACCAUUUACCUAUUCAUGUCAUGAGCUUUCUUUUGCUCCUCUCGCCUCCAUUCAUGAUGCGAAGAAACCAAUUCAAGUGCAGACAUGUUUGUUUUCCAUCAAUUAUCAUGUGUCUUAGAUAAUCAAGAGAGGGAUAAUCAUGUGUCUUAGAUAAUCAUGUGGUCCUCAUGGCAUCAACGAGCACACAUGUCCUGUAGAUCAUCUUGCUAUGGAGAUCAGGAAUCUCUAUGGUAGGCACAAAGUGUCAUCAUCAUUUGUAGUGUUUACUGGGAUAUCGUUCAUACUCUUGCAAUUAUCUCUUGUUGUAUUUGAGCCACGGGAAUGAAAAAUAAUUCCCUUCUCGUAAACUAAGAAAGGUUUAGGUAUAUGUAUGAAAACCAACUGAAGUUUUUCGUUGCAACAUUAUUGAGGCAAAUAUUAGCAUACUUUUGAAGAGUAGUCACUAAAUAAGGGCGAGUAUACAUAUCAUGUUUGCUUUUCUAAACCGCUUCAAGAAAUUGUAUGUUAAUUGCUCCUCAUAUUUCUAAUAGAAGUAUGUAUGUAUUAUUUCCUUGUAUUUUGUUUACAUGUGUCUUAUCCAUGUUGUGUUGUUCAUGAUUUCAGCAUGUACAUAGGCUAUAAAUUGUGGUCAAGUGAAAGUGAUCUCAAGAUCGAAUCACUAACUACAUAUUAUACCUAUCUGAACCAAAUGUACAAGAGAUACACAAUAAUCCUCUACUGAAAUUCAUGAUUUACCUUCUACUCAAUUAAUACGCGUUAAAGUUCACUCCCGUGCUCAUAAAUGUACUGCCUACCGAUACAAAAUCAGUGGAAAAUGGUACCCAUCCCCAACAACCAUGCUGCACCAUGCUAAUAUCAAUAAUGUUGUCCACAUAUAUAAAGCUAAAUCUCCCCUAUGGCAGCAAGCUUGAAAACCUACUAGUUGACACAAAUUUCUAUUACUGACAUUAAAUAGCUCACAAGCGAGGAAAGUAAAAUAAGAAGCAGCCCUAGGGGAUGCAUGCCCCAAGAAGGAAAUUAGAUAAUGAUCGUGUGAUGUGUUCGGGAAUAGGAGACUUCGGAAAAGGAAGAGGCACUAGUAUGUGGAGCUACCAACGUUUGAUACUGUCAGGUGGCUUAGUUGUUAAUUGAGGGAUCCCUUGCCCUCUCUGUUCUAGUCGCGCAACUCGGUUGUAGGUGGACACAUCACGUCCUCUAGACCACAAUUCAUGAACCAUUUGUUUACUUGAUUGGUCUGUGCUCAUACAUGCACCUGCAACCCUAAAGGGCACUAUAAACACUGCCUCGCGGACCUGGUGCCCAAGCGACUGCCAUUUGCGCCUCCUUCCAAUUAUUUUGUCAGUGACUUGUACUGGGUCAUUGGAGCCAGAUUACAUGUUCCAGACCACUAACAUGUGUUGAACCAUACCUACAUGAACUUAGGCAUUUGUGCGUUCAUUGAUAAUGUCUAUUAUAGCUCGAUCUGGAAUGCUCUAGGAUACAUUGAGGAGAGAAGCAGGAUGCGGAAGCGCGACAGGGUGUGGGUUUGGUUUGUUUUAGGUUCACAUCCACGCCAUCGACACUAGCAGACGAGAUGAAAGAGCUCAACAAGAAUCUCCUCGCAAAUCACAGAUCAACACAGAUGCAAAAGCCAAUUAGAGUGGAGUCAGCCAUCAGGGCAUGGCCAAUGCGUCACCUCAACCUGAUGCUCCGCGGGGCCAGGUAGGCUCGGAUGUCACUGUGGUGGUUCGGCUAGUGCUCCACGGGUAGGUUCGGCUAGUGCACCAUGCUAAUAUCAAUAAUGUUGUCCGCAUAUGUAAAACUAAAUCUUCCCUAUGGCAGCAAGCUUGAAGACCUAUUAGUUGACACAAACUUCACUUCUCAUCUCAGCCCUGCAAAUCUGAUCCAACGGCCAAGAUCUCACAAAAGCCAAAACUGCCAGAACAGGUUACAAGUACAAAAGUUUUAUUAUAUACUCCCUCCGCCCCAUAAUAUAAGAUCGUUUGGGAAGGGGCGCAGGAAGUAGAAGAAAAAACUAAAGAGAUUACAGACAACAUUGCGAAGAAAAAAACAAAAAACUAAGGAGACAUCAUUUUAACACACUUUGCAAAGGAGAAGAUAGUACAAAAACAGAUUAUAAGAAACAACUAGACAAGGAUGGAAAAGUAAAGAGUGCAGUAGGGCUAGUGUUGAAAUGUUAUGGUAACAGGUGCUAAUAUCGAACAAUCACAUAUUAGCCCAUCUCACUCGUGCACUUAGCCCACAAAAUGAUAUAUUUACACCCAAACUACCAUAAUUACCUCUGAAAUGACAUGUUAAUUACCAAAUUCUUAAUACUGGAACGGAUCUUCGUCAUAAAGAGUAUUAUCGUCACAAGUAGGAGUUGCCAUGGGCUAGGUAAAAUUAUCAAUGACAUUGCACCCUUCAAGCUCCCCAUAUGUCCAUUUGUUGCUGCCAUGUUCCAUCAUCAUCCACGUCUACUUGACUUUGUGGUCCACUAUAACUUUCUUUUUGCUAUCGCAAAAGCAAAUGCAAUUUAUUAGUCUACCAAAAAUAAAUAAAGCAUAGUGAAAUGUGCAGAUUGCAACUUACCUUAGCUCCUUUUUCGGUUGGAUUUAGUUGGCUUGCCCGUUUUCCUCGUGCAAGUUGUCGAUCCAAGUUCUCUUCCUCUAUGAAUGUCUUGAUUAAACCUCACUUUUCUUAAGGUGGGAUCACUUAGCAUGUCAUCUGUUUGAUGCACAUUUGACCCAACAAAAAUAGUAAGCACAACACUAGAACCAGUAAUCUCUCUUAACUUACUGAGCCCAGGAAAACACCAUAAUGCCCUAUAUUUGCCGUUUGUGCCAAAAAUAGUGUCAAAUGUUACAACAUCACCAAAAUGUGAAGGGUCAUUUUAGCACAAACCUAUAAUAUAUUUCUUAUAUAUGCUAUGCACAAUCAAAUUAGAAAGCAAUAAUAGGUUUUGCGCAAUUUUGUCAUGGUGAUUGUCAACAUACUUUAUGCCUGACCAAACGCCAAUUCUCUCUACUUCUUGCUCUGCAAAUAAUUUUUGCGUUCACGGCAACCAGCAACAACUGUAGCUAAGGUUAAGUCUCGUCCUUUAUCUAUCCAUGUCAUGCUAUAGCUUUUUAUCCUCUUGCACCCAUUCAUGAUGUGAAGAAACCAAUUCAAGUGAAGACAUGUUUGUUCGCCAUCAAUUAUCAUGUGUCUUAGCCAAUCAUGAUAGGGACAAUUAAAUCAAAUGUGAAACAAUCAAAACAUAUAUCUAACAUGUUUAAUUGUACAUGACCAUGUAAAGUUAUCCUAGAAAUGUCAAUGAUGGAAAAGCAUCUUGAAACGUGGAAGAGCGUAGUAGGGAAUGAUAGGUGUUGAGGAAGAAGUGUGUUCCCCGGCUAGCAUAACAUGUCUUGUAGAUCUUGCUAGGGAGAGUAUGAAUCUCUAUGGUAGGUACAAAGUGUCAUCAUCACUUGUAACGUUUACUGGGACAUUGCCUAUACUCUUGUUGUGUCCGAAUCUUGAGAAUGAAAAAUAAUUCCCUUCCCGUAAACUAAGAGAGGUUUAGGUGUAUUAAGAUUACUUGUUUCUUAGCCAUGUUGGGCCAUUCACGAUUUCAACAUGUACAUGGCUAUAAGUUGUGGCCAAGUUAAUGCAAUCUCAAGAACGAAUUACUACCUACGCAUUGUACCUAUCUGAACCAAAUUUACGAGAGUGAUACACAACUAAUUCAUGAUUUUAUUUUCAGUCAAUUAAUACUCAUUUAAAGUUACCCCCAUGCUCAUAAAUGUAGUACUUACCGAUAUGAAAUCAUUUGAAAAUGGUACUCAUCCCCAACGACCAUGUUGCACCAUGUUAAUAUCAAUAAUGUUGUGCACAUAUAUAAUGCUAAAUCUCCCCUGUGGAACCAAGUUUGAUGACCUACCAGUUGACACAAACUUAUAUUGUUGCUAUUAAAUAGUUCACAAGCAAGGAAAGAAAAAUAAGAAGCGGCCCUAGGGGAUGCAUGCCCGAAGAAGAAAAUUAGAUAACAAUUGUGUGAUAUGUUCGGGAUGGGAGACUUUGACAAAGAUAGUGGUACUAGAAUGUGGAGCCACCAGUGUUUGAUACUGUGAGGUGGCUCAAUUGUUAUAAACACUACCUCGCGUACCUUGUGCCUAAGCAACUGCCAUUUGCACCUCAUUUCAAGUUUCCUUCUAGUAAAUAGUGGGUCACUGCAACAUGACCGCGUGUUCUAGACUUCUACCAUUUGUUCCACCAUACCUAAGACACACUUUGGCAUCUGUGCCUUCAUCUGUAAUGUAUAGAGUAGCUUGAUGUGGAAUGCUCUAGCAUACAUUGAGGAGAAGAGCGGGAUGCAGAAGCGCAACAGGGUGUGGAUUUGAUUUGCUUUGGAUUCAAGAUCUAGUGCAUGGUUCCUCUAGGAGCUUACAAAUCUUGGCUUAGCUAGGCACGCCUACAUCCACAUAGACAAAUCAAUAUUGGUUAAUUAACAUAAUCUUUUAAUUUGCAUCAUGGACCAUGGCACUUAGCUAGGAAUCAAUGGUUUUAUGCGCAACUACAACGUUUCAUCCUUGCGGUAUGCAAAAGAAAAAACUGUUUUAUCGAUAUAAUACAUACUACACAAUAUGUUUGUGCUCCAAAGCAUCAUGGCAAACCACAUUCUUGCUAGCUAGUUUGGUCAGUAACAUGAGUUUCUAGGACAAUUGUUGAGUCAACACAAUCGUGUUUACACGUCAAAGCUAUAGAAGUUCGUAUGAAGGCAUGAACCAAGAUGUAUUGUCGAAGACGUUGAGUACUUUGAAAAUGAUAAGAUGUACUGUAUAAUGUAAAUAAUCAAUGAAAUCUUAUGUUUUCUAAAAAGACAUGAAUUGUACAUUCCGAUGACAAGAUGUUUGUGUUCCAAAGCAUCAUGGCAAACCACAUUCUUGCUAGCUAGUUUGGUUAGUACCAUGUGUUUGUAGGACAACUGUUGAGUCAACAUAAUCAUGUCUACACGUCAAAGCUAUAGAAGUUCGUAUGAAGGCAUGAACCAAGAUGUAUUGUUGAACACAUUGAGUACUUAUGAAAUGACAAGAUGCAUUGUACAAUGCAAAUUAAUUGAUAAAAUCUUAUGUUGUCUAAAAAGAGAUGAAUUGUAGAUUCCGAUGAAUCGUUAACUAAAGUUGAAAUCAACAUUUCAAAGCUUUGCUUACAGUAACAUGAACACACUACUGGAACUAACUAAAGUUGCAUAUAUUCGCUAAACACAUUAUACGAUCCCCCCAAGUAAAGAAAACACUAGUAUAUGAAAUCAUCUCUACAAGCAAUUAAUGUAUGAUAUGAGCUCAAUAUGAUAAAUAUUGUAGUACAUGAUACAACAACUUUCAACCAUACAAAGGUACUAUAUGCACCGGCCUAUUGGCACAAAUAAAAAUAAUCAUAAAACACGAAAGCGGAUCACGAAGAUAUAUUGUUAACUCGCACACAUGAUGUAAAAUAAAUAGCAGUGAGUUCUUCCAUGCUUGCAUGAAAUCUAUGGAAAUGAAGGGCAAGCCAACCCCUCUCAUUGUUGUACUAUUCGCCUAAAUAGGCAUCAUAAGCUCCAUUCUUCCUUCACUCAUGGAGAUCAUUCGACAAACUUCUGGUAUCGUGUAAAGUUCUUGAAAUUAGUAAUACUCAGAAAUAUGAGACAUCAGGAAAGUUCUACGUUAUACCACAUGGCCUCACCGAGCUAGUUUUUUUGAGGUCGCAUGAAAAACCACAAGAAGAAGCACAAGCAGCCCUUUGGCGAGCAAUGUGACCUUAAAACCUAUGUUGUCGAUAUUGUUUGAUUGGCUCCGUCCACUUUACGGAACAUAUUCCAAUUCUCCAUGAUUUAGAGGGGGAAAAAACAUUAGCAUAUGGAAAAUGCAAAAUCCAUAUGACAACACAAUCAAAAGCUGUAGUAGGACUGAAAUUCAUUGGGUGCUUAGGCUCAUGUAGCAUCCAAGUCUUUAUGUGAUAGAUAUAGUCAUAAAAUUUAUCACUAAAUGACUAACUUUGGGUGUAUUUCUCUCCAUUACUGGUUGAAAUACAUUUUGGUGCUUAUGGUGUGUUCGGAUCAUAGUCUUGUUUCUCAGCACUGAAAUAGUAUCCAACAUUUGCCGGUCAUUCAGCUGCAUUCUCUCUCUUUUACACAUCGCAGAGAAAUGCAUCAACACCUCUCAUUCUUUCUGCCGAGUGACUCUUGGGCCUGCUGAUGCAUCAACAAGAUUGAUCCAUCUUCCCUCUUUCCACAAGUAUUUUUGCAAUUUCAUCACAUAGCUGCGUAAGGCAUCAGAUAAACAAUGCAUUUUUAUUUAUUUAUUUAUUUAUUUCAUGCGGCCUAAACACGUCACAUGCCCACAUGUGAGCUUUCGACUUUGCCGCGCCGUUUUCUUCUUGCCAUUGUGCAUGAAGUUUACUUUCCAUUAUAUCUCUUUUUUAGGAUUCUCAUUAUAUUUCUUAAUAAUGUCAUCCUGCCACUUAACAGGCCAAUAAAUGAAAAUAAAAUCCACAGUAUAACAGUAACUUAUUAUCUACAAUCUUGUUCUGUUGUCACAAACCAAAAUUUAGUUCACAGUACAUAACAGAAGAGGUAACAUAAUAACUUGGAAAAAACCAAUGUAGCAAGAUCCAACCUACUGGUGAAUGUUUCAGAUAUUUAAGGAGAUGGCAGAGCAGAACUUGCACUCUUUUAAAUUUCUUCUCCCCUAGUUGUUCCUGAUGGGCAUGUAGACUUCAGAGCCACUGACCAGUUUGCCUAAGCUUUUGAAUACAGCUCCCCAACAUGGAGCAGCUAUUUGGCUGAAAAAUCUAAUAAUAUACAACCACCAGAAAAUUGAUGCCCGUGGUACAUGUAUUCGGCUGUCAAUCCAACCUGAGCGUUUCCAACCCCAGAGAGCUUAGUGAUACAGUAGAUUACAGAUCUUUUACAUGUACCGCUGACAACUCGCAUCAAUACUAAUUUCAUUUAAAAAAAUUAAGCAGAGAACAGAUCUUUUACCUUUUACAUGUACCGCUGUCAAGCUGACAACUCGCAUCAAUAGUAAUUUCAUUUAAAGAAAUUCAAGCCGCGAACUAACCUGUGAUAAUAGACGUUCCUGUUGACUACGACUAUGAAAAAUCUCAAGAUGAAAUGUCAGCUCAGUAUCUCGAAGAUGCUCAUAGGGGUAGGAUCGACUACAACUACGAAAAAUCACAAGAUGACAUGCCAACUCAAUCUCUCCAAGGUGCUCACAGGGGUAGGAUGUCUGUACUAUGUUAAAAAAAAGUUUCAGGCCAGGAACUGCAUCUGAACCUCCAUCGAAGGCAAAAAACUGCCAACCAAUCACGGAUCAACACCAAUGCAAAAACUAACCAGACCAGAGUUAGCAGUUCAAUCUACCCGGCAUUUUUCCUCUGGCAAUUUUUUUACCUAAUCUUUUAACAAAAAAGAGUUUACCAACACAAGCAAUAAGCAUCACUCAAAAGAAACCUCUCGAGAACAAGGCCAUCUGGAUCCUAGUCUGGAGUUAGGGAAAGGGUCUGAAUUUGCAAGGCACAUACUCCAAUGCUCCGACAAGCACAAAUUGAAAAGUAAACAUAUGUUUAUGCAAACAAAAGAUGACAAAAAGUCCAAAGCAAAUAUGCUUCAGGUUCUCUUCUGUUCUUCAGAAGAAAUAUAGCCACGGCGCCCUACACAAUAGUGUUGUUUUAAUUAUUGAGACAGACAAAAUAGCCUCGAGAGUACAGCCAGCACAUAUAGGUAGAUUUAGCAACAGGCAUCGCCAUCAGGGUAAAGGUUCCAACCGACCGCAAACCUGAAACGGACGUGUGGAAGAUCUAGAAUCAGUGCCAUGAAAAAUGGUGCGGAAACGAGGUUUAGCGGGCAGUGAGUUCAGUCUAGAUGCCUGCUCUACCUCAAGGUCUUGGGCCUCAGGGGUUGAGGUCCUUGACGAUGAAGUUCUGGCGGCUGAUGGGGUUCAUGAUGACCGGCGGGCCGGCGACGCGAGGCCAGGCCUGGAACCUCUGCUCCGUCGCCUUCAA
RNAcentral lists this long non-coding RNA (55018 nucleotides) under Triticum aestivum (bread wheat). RNAcentral's name for it is "long non-coding RNA (TAES_LNC002460)". The stretch from base 13684 to 13818 matches the Rfam family "MIR1120/MIR1122 microRNA precursor family". Lineage: Eukaryota; Viridiplantae; Streptophyta; Magnoliopsida; Poales; Poaceae. The record is from RNAcentral.